This 62527-nucleotide long non-coding RNA is filed under the name Eucalyptus grandis. The record is from RNAcentral. Lineage: Eukaryota; Viridiplantae; Streptophyta; Magnoliopsida; Myrtales; Myrtaceae.
GGAUUUGAGAAACAUAUUGCGGGUAUCAAAAAAUGGUAACAUCUACAGGACAAUUACAGUUGCAUGUCUAUCAAUAUUUAUCUUGUUUCCUCUCAAAAAGUUGGAUUUACAGCUCCUAGCGCGGAAUGAACUGGUGAAUUUGUUUUUCAUCUGAAACAAUUGAUAUAUUGUUUAACUAAACAUUUCUCAAGAGAGGCCAACUUUUUCUGAUGAUAUCACCAAUCUUCGCAUCGAUCUGCUUCUGAAUGUGAGGUGGGCAAACCCCAGUCUGCAAAACUGUUCAAUCUUGCAGCCAAACUUGAUUUCUGAAGUUCCUCUUCAGGCAGGUUUCCCAUCAGCUGGAUGAGGAGUGGUUUCUGCUUGAGCUCGAAUUUCUGCAUAUUUCAUGGUAUGGGAAUUCUUGUCAGAAAUGCUGGUGAGAAGAGACCAUUUCCAGUUCCUUGUGACCAACAAAAGUGCCAGCCGGUACAAUUGAAAAUUCAUAUGGAGUGCAUGCAUUUCUCAGGCGACAAGCUGAAGAUUUCAGAGAUGUCUGCAAUAUGCAUUAUAAUUGCAAGGCAAAACCAAAUUAAAUAACUAGAAGAGCCAUAACAUGCUGCAGAGGAGCCAAGGAAACAACCUUUCUACUUGACCACAACAGAUCUGGUUUGACAAUUCGGGGCAUCAACCUAAGCAAAUUAAUACACAGGUGGACCUUUUUUCUCUUUCAACAGAACUAGCAGCAAAGUACUUCCUUACCCAUCAAAAACACCUAGAAUAUUUCACAGAUCAUUAUCAUGGCAAAUCAAGACAAAUCAAAAUAGUUGGAAGCACGAAAUCCCCUAGUCAUUUCCCGUCCUCUGAAGGAAUUUUCGUUCCACGCACGGAAUGAAUUACUAGUAACAUAUUUGGAUUGCAGGUAUUUAUGUAGCAUUUGGCUGAGGGAACACAUCAGUAGCAGCCCGCAAUGAAUAAGGGACCGUUCUAAAUAUGGAAAGUUCUUCAACCUCACUCGUUGUCAGUCGAGUCAACACAAAGUGAGGACACAAUGUAAUGAGAGAUGAGGCAGGAACAAGUUCAGAAUUACGUAUUCGGACAUACCCACUUGAUAAUCGGCCAAUUAAUAUUCUCACCCAUUGAGUUAAUGAUGACUGGUGAAUUCAAUUUUCUGAUAGGCACACUGUAAAGUAAUAAUGUGCGGUUCCCAAUUACUUAACCUGAUGUUCAGGCUCUGCAUGAUAAAAUGCUUCAAGAUGUUGAAUCUGAGUAGUGACAACACUGCUCUUGGACUUGCUUUGCUCUCUUUCUUUGCUAAGGGCUGCUAGCCUGGACUCUUCAGUUCCAUUUGUGAAGAUAAUUGACCUGACAACACAAUUCCAUCAGUAAAUAUUCAGUAGACACAAAGCAACAGACCACACAUCCUAAUUCUGAUAAACAGGAAAACUUUCGAUGCAAAUAAUUGCCGUCACCUGUACUGGUUACCAACAUCUGGACUUUGCCCAAGAACUUGCCUUGAAUCAUGACUAGACCAAAAGACAUCCAAAAGUUGCCUGUAACUAAUCAAUCUAGGAUCAUAUUCCACCUGUGGAGCAGCAUUCACAAAAACAAAGAAAGAACGAGUAAAUAUCAAUACCAACUAGCAAUAUUCUUGUCAUUUAAAAGAUUAUGUUCCGAUUUCAAGAACAAAAAACCAUGGACAUACUUAAGUCUAGAAACUCUCUUGCUCAAAAGAGAGGACUUAUAGAUGAAACUUUCUCACCACCCUCCUCCUUCCCACUCCCCAAAAGGAAAAAGAAAAGCGACAAAAGGCAAAAGAAAGGGGAGUGUCAAAACAAUGCCUUUUUUUAUUAUAUAGAAUCUCAGUUUGAAUCCCGAUUUACCCCUCCAUGCUAACGGGGGUUCACAUCCAAAAUCAGCUUCUGCUUGCUCAAAUCCUAACCUCUUAUAUGCCCUAUGUCCCCAACAAAAUUUUCAUCAUAUAAGGACGACUUGUGACGAGCUUGGCAUUUGCACAAGUAACUUUGACAAGCCUCCUGACCUCCUUUAAAGAAACAUUAGCAGCCCAAGAUGCAUCAAUCCAAAAUGAUUGACCUGCAUAAAUCAGACUGAUCCUCAGAGGAAAGCGGAGGAUGAAUCCAGCAUCUUUCACCUAAUUAGCAAAUCACAAAUGACGAAAAUGCAAACUUACAGGAUCAAACAUUCGAUAUCACCUCUCUCUACGUCUUAUGUCCAAUCAACCACCGUGCAAUCUUUCACCCUUUUCACUGACUCGAAACUCUGACGUUUCAUCAAGACAAAGCUGAAAGUACCACCUCGCAGUGGCAUCUAAUGCUUAAUGCCGGAUGACCAUAGUGAACAGUGUCCUCGACUAUUAGGAAGAAAUUCUAAGAGUCAUGCUAAUAAAGGUGCAAGGAAACAACAAUGCGAAGGGCAGGAUUCUUAAACCAAAAGAAACAACAACAAUGGCAUCCACACUAGUUGACAAUGAUAGCUAAGCACCUCCGAUCAUUGAAACUACAAACUCAGUCGGUAGCACCGUCAGCCUCCGAUCUGUACAAUCCCUGUUGGAGAAAACUUCCUUGCGUGUUUUGAAGCUGACAAAACAUUUCCAUCAGUCUAGUCUGAAGACUUCGGACUCUUUCGUCAAAGUCUGAAGAUUGCUGGACCGCCAGACUCAAGAUUCAAAGUCUAUCCUCAUUGACAGUUUCUAGACCGUCGAAGAAGACUUAUCCAGAAUUGAGUAUUUCUUUAAGGAUUUGAUUCUAUCGACUAAAGAAGAUCUCUCGGCUGGAUAUAGCAUCUCGGAAUCCAUUAUUUAUCUUGAGAUUGAUUCAGGCAUUUUGGAUCCAUUGAUUGACGAAGUAUACUUGGAAAGUUCUACUUAUAGAAACCUAGAUCCUGAUUGUAUGAGCGAGCAGAAUUGGUGGGCUAUCGUCAUAUUCCUUAAAUAACUCGAAAUCUCCCUAAUUGAUUCUGUCCAACGGGUAGAUUGGAAGAGCUCCUUUGGUAAGUGUCAACGGUUGUGAUGGCAUGGAGGAGUAUAUAAGGAAGACGUUCUAGUUAUUCAAAUGUGUGCGCGAUAGAGAAAUUCCAAAGUAUGAAGCUUCUUAUUCUUUGUAUAUUCAAUUGUUGAGCGUGAACUUGUACUCAAAAGAGAGUUUAUACUUCUGUAAGACCUUGAGAAAGUGUAGCAGAGUCUCUAUACUGUGGAAUCAAGGAAGAGCUAUAUUGUAACAACUCUUUUGAUUCUUAGUGAAAUCCAACCGGUUGGCUGUCAGUGCGAAAAAGUGGACGUAGGCUUGGAUUAAGCCGAACCACUAUAAACCUUGUGUUCUUAUUCUCUUCCCUAAGCUCUUUUACUUUGAUCGUAACUCUAUCUGAUUAUUAGAGUCUAAUUUCCUUUUCAUAAUCUAUUGCUAAAUAGAGUUGGUUUAAAAGCAAAAUUUAUACUUUACUCUGCAAAAUUUGUUUUCGCACAUAUUCACCCCCUCUAGGUGCUCGUACUAGCUUUUACAAUUGGUAUCAGUGCAUGUGUACUAAUUUAAGUUGAAGUGUUUUUACUUCAAAGUUAAUGAUCCAUGGCUAGUAUGUUGGCUCUAGGUCUGGUUGAAGGGCAAAGUAACACCAGACCGCCUUAUUUUGAUGGAAAUGAAUACAUCAUAUGGAAAAACAAGAUGAAGGCAUUCUUAAGAUCAAAAGAUCCUCUGGAAUGGGACGUGAUAGGCAAAGGAAUCAUUCCUAAAGCUGCAACAGUCUCAGAAAGAGGAAAAUAAGCUGUUGAGUCCAGUGAAAUGACUCUAGAAGAAAUAACCAAGAGACAAGCUCUUGAUGCAAAAGCAAUUUAUUCCUUAUAUUGUGUAUUAUCUCCUACUGAUUAUAACAUAAUGUCUUCUUGUGAAACAACUAAAGAAGUCUGUGAUAGAUUGCACUUCACCUAUGAAGGAACAUAUCGAGUGAAGGAAACUAGAAUCAAUAUUCUGCUUGGUCAAUAUGAAGCAUUCAAGAUGAAACCAGGAGAAUCUAUCACUGACAUGUUUAGUCAUUUUACAGAAAUCGUGAAUGGUCUUGAGUAUCAAGGUCAACCAAUCUCUGGACCCAUGAAGGUUAACAAGUUACUGCGUGGACUUUCCAAAGAUUAGAAUCACAUAAAGACCUCAAUAAGGGAGACUCAAAGAAUCAUGCCACUUUCUGUUGACGAAUUGGUUGGCACUCUUCAGUCUUAUGAAGUAGAGCAAAUCAACGAAGAUGAAGAUCCCAAAGGUAAAAAAAUCUAUUGCAUUAAAAUCUAAUAAUGAUUAUGAUGUCACAGAUUUUGAAGACGAUAUGGACGAUAAAGAGUUUGCUCUCAUGAUAAGAAGGUUCAAAAAACUGAAUAGAAAAGGAAGAAAAUUCAAUCCAAAGAAACAAAAUUCUCAAAAGUUACAGAAUAAAUCAAUUGAGGAUGAUGAAUCCAACAAGGAUGUAAUCUGCUUUGAAAACAAGAAAAAGGGAUACAUUAGACCCAACUGUUCCUUACUGAAGAGAAAAAAAAAGGAAAAGCUGAGAAAUACCGAAAAGUUCUUAAAGCAGAAAUUUGGAGUGAUACCGAAUGUGAAGAAAGUGAUGAUGAUUAUGUCAAUAUUUGUCUUAUGGCACAAUCAGAAUCAGAUUCAGACUCUGAGACAGACUCAGAUUUAGAUAGUGAAAUCGAGGUAAGUAAUUUAAAAAUUCCUACUAAAGUCUCUAAGUAUAUUAAUGAAUUGUGUCUUAGUCUCAAAACCUCUCUCAAGAGGAUUUCCGAACUGAAAAGAGAAAAUUCUGUACUAAAGCAACAGGAGAUUCUUUGGAAAGAAAAUGUUGAAAAUUUAGAUAAAAGUGUUACUACUUUGAAAGAAAAUGCAGACUAUCUUUCAAAAGAAAAUGCAUUUUUGAAAAAUGAUAUCUCAAGUAUUUCCAAAAGGUUUUCUAUAGGAUUUGAGAAAUUAGAAAAUAUUCUUUAAGCACAAAGAGCUUACUUUAACAAAUCAGGUUUGGGAAUGACUGCUGAAACCAUUCCUUUAAUUGAUUUUCCUAAAGUAAAAGAAAUAAUUAAACAAAGACCUACAAAAGAUUCGUAUAGAAAUCAUUUCCAAAAAGUUUUUGUAAAACUUGUAGGCCGCAGUGCUCUCAAAUGUUCUCAGUGCAACAACUUAGAACGUUUUGAGAAAGAUUGUCCUAUGGUUUGUAAACCCGCGAGGAAGGUUUGGGCAAAGACAGUAUAUCACACUAACUCCAUUGGACUCGAGAAAGUAUGGGUACCAAAGAAAGCUUGAGUUUCUUUUUAAAAUGCGGGUCACUAUCAAGAAAAAGAUUAAAUGGUACUUGGAUAGUGGAUGCUCAAGACACAUGACAGGAUACUCAAAUUACUUCAUAAAGUUUAUACAAUUUAAUGGUGGAAAAGUUUCUUUUGGAGGAAAUAGCAAAGGCAGAAAUGUGGGAUACGGAACCAUAAAUAUUAGAAGUCUCACGAUCAAUAACGUUUCCUUAGUGGAAGGACUCAACUACAACUUACUGAGUAUCAGCCAGUUGUGCGACAUAGGAUUCAAAAUCAACUUUCAAGAAGGAAUAUGUUCAGGAACCAGUAAAGACUCCUCUCAAACUUUCACGGGGCGAAGACAUGGGAAUAUCUAUCUCUUGGAUAUCAAACCAGAAAAAUCCCAAUGUCUAAUCUCAAUUCAAGAGGAAGCAAAUCUAUGGCACAGAAAACUUGGGCACAUAAACAUGAAGCAAAUAGCCAAGAUCUCUACAAAAAGACUUGUUCGUGGAUUACCCAAAUUGACAUAUCAAAAGUUUGAUCUAUGCACACCAUGCGUGUUGGGAAAAUAGGUAAGAAAUUCAUCAAACCAAUAAAUCAAGUGUCCACUAAUCGUGCUCUUGCAUAUGGAUCUCUUUGGACCAACCACAACUCAGAGCAUUGGAGGUAAGAAAUAUUGCCUAGUAAUAGUGGAUGAUUAUUCACGAUUCACUUGGGUAUAUUUCCUGGCAAGUAAGUUUGAAACCUUUUCAUAAUUUAUAAAAUUUGCUAAGAAAGUUCAAAAUGAUAAAGUGUAUGUUAUUUUAAAUAUAAGGACAGACCAUAGAGGUGAGUUUGAAAAUCAAGACUUUGCUAAAUUCUAUGAUGAAUCUGGCUUUCAACAUGUGUUCUCCUCACCAUACACUCCAGAGCAGAAUUGAGUUGUGGAAAGGAAGAAUAGAUCGCUCUAGGAAAUGGCUAGAACUCUUUUAAUUGAAAGUAACAUUUCUUCUCGUUUUUGGGCUGAAGCAGUUUCUACAGCGUGCUAUAUUAUCAAUAGAGUCUUCUUAAGGCCUAUUCUGGAGAAAACUCCCUAUGAGUUGUUCAAAGGAAAGAAGCCAAUUGUUUCCUAUUUUCAUGUGUUUGGAUGCAAAUAUUUUAUAUUGAAAAAUGCAAAUGAUCAAAUUGGUAAGUUUGAAGAAAAAUCAAAUGAAGGCAUCUUCCUUGGAUAUUCAACCACUAGCAAAGUUUACAGAGUAUACAACAAAAAGAUUCAAUCUGUGGAGAAAUCGAUGAAUGUCAAAUUUCAAGACUUUGUACAAAAUCAAUUGAUUCAGACUCAACCAGAAGAAUCUGAACCUGCUCUAGACUCUACAAAGUCUAAACCUCAAGAAGCAGCUCAGACUUCAGAGGACUAGCAACAAAUAAUCACUGAAGAAUCAAAUGAAGAAAAAGAUCAACAGUCUGAUAAGCCAACCAGCAACUGGAAGCACAAGUCUAGUCAUCCCAAAGAACUCAUUAUUGGUAACAUUAAUGAAGAAAUUCGUACAAGAUCCAAAAAGCGUGAAGAGUCUAGUGCUGUAGCUCUUAUCUCUAAAACAUAGCCCAAGAGCAUAGAAAAAGCUUUAACUGAUGAAAGCUGGAUUAAAGCUAUGCAAGAAGAACUCAUGCAAUUUAGUAUCAAUGAUGUCUGGGAAUUGACUCAUAAACCAAAAGGUAAAUCAAUCAUUGAAGCUAAAUGGAUUUUUAGGAACAAGAUGAACGAGAAAGGAAAAGUUAUAAGACACAGAGCAAGACUCGUGGUCAAAGGAUAUACGCAAGAAGAAGGGAUAAAUUAUGAUGAGGCUUAUGCACCAGUAGCAAGGUUAGAAGCAAUUAGAUUAUUACUUGCUUUUGCUUGUUAUAAGAAUUUCAGGUUAUUCCAAAUGAACGUCAAAAGCGCUUUCCUAAAUGGAUUUAUCCAAGAGGAAGUCUAUGUGGAACAACCUCCCAGUUUUGAAGACCCAAGGAAACCAGACUUUGUAUUCAGACUAAAAAAGGCUCUGUAUGGUUUAAAGCAAGCACCUCAAGCUUGAUACGACAGGUUAAGUAAGUUUUUAAUUCAAAAUGGUUUUGUUAAAGGUAAAGUAGACACUACCCUAUUUAUCAAAAGAGAAAGCAAAAACUUCUUAUUUGUUCAAAUUUAUGUUGAUGAUAUUAUUUUUGGAUCUCCUAAUGAAAAUCUAUGCAAGAAAUUCUCUAAGUCUAUGCAGGAUGAAUUUGAAAUGAGCAUGAUGGGUGAACUAACAUUCUUUCUCGGGUUUCAAGUGAAACAAUUGAAGGAGGAAACUUUUAUUCACCAAGAAAAAUAUGCUAAAGAACUUGUCAAAAAGUUUGGACUGGAGAAUUGCAAAAAGACUGAUAUACUAAUGUCAAGUUCCUUGAAGCUGGACAAAGAUGAAGGAGGAAAGAAAGUAGACCAGAAGCUAUACAAGAGUAUCAUUAGUUCACUUCUUUAUCUUACUGCUUCUAGACCUGACAUUCUGUUUGGUGUUUGUAUUUGUGCCAGAUUUCAAUUAGACCCUAAAGAAUCUCAUUUUAGUACUGCUAAACGUAUCAUCAAAUACGUUGCUUCAACCUUUAAUUUAGGUCUAUGGUAUCCUAAAGAAUGAGACUUUACUCUCCUUGGAUAUUCAGACGCAGACCUAGCAUGUUGUAGUGUUGAUAGAAAGAGCACCUCAAGAACCUGUCAAUUGCUUGGUAACAGGACAGUAUCUUGGUUUUCGAGGAAGCAAAGUACCGUAGCUCUUUCUAAAGCAGAAGCGGAGUAUAUGGCUCUUGGAAGUUAUUGUUCACAAAUUUUGUGGAUAAAACAACAGUUAAGAGACUUUGGAAUUGAAGAUUCAUGCACUGAGAUCAAAUGUGACAACAUAGCGCGAUCAAUCUCACCAAAAAUCCAAUUCUUCAUUCAAGAGCAAAGCAUAUAGAGAUUCGAUAUCAUUUCAUUAGAAAUCAUGUGCAAAAUGGAGAAGUCUCGAUUCAGUUCAUUGACUCAAAUAAUCAACUGGCGGACAUUUUACAAAGCCUUUGGAGAAAAGUCAAUUUGAAUUUAUUCGUUCCAGACUCAAUAUUUUAAAGUUUGAAGAAGUUUAAAGUUUGAAGAAGUUCAGACUCAGGGCUAAAAAGUCAUAAGAUACUCAGACUCAGAAGAUCGAGAAUCACGACUGUAACUUAUUUAUGUUUAUCUCGGAUAAAAUCUCAAAAAGGUACGUUCAUCUAUUAAUUUGUAAUUGAUUGAUGUUAUCUUCCCCAGUUUUCGUGAUUAUUGCAAUCAUUCCUUUUCGAAAAAGAAGUUAUCUGUUAAGAUGACGGUUAUCUAUUUUUUUUAAAAGGUAGUUAUUUUUUGAAAAUGCAUUUUUGUAUUUUUCUUUUUUACGUCAUUCUGUAUGCCUUGUUUUGACUGCUUUAUAUACAGUUGUUUUUUUCUCCAUUUUACUCACAAAACCCUAAGAAAGCACAGAUCUUCAACUUCUAUUUUCUUCUCUUGUUUAAUCCUCGAAAAGUUUUAACCUUUCUUGCGAAACAAGCUUGGAAUCCCUCAAAAACUGUGAAGAAUGUCAUUCCAAAGAAAGUCUUCAAGGAUCGCGAACAGGGGACCACAACAAAUGCGUGAGGGUCCUACGCAUUUUGACCUCGUCGAGGAAGAAGCAUCUCCUAGACAGCAGCAAAGCCCACAACAUUCUCAACAGCGUCCAUCUCCUCCAUCUAGACCUCAGGAUAUUGAUCAUCGAGCAGAGGAAGAAAUCAUUGAAGAUGCAGAACCCGUAAGAACUCAAAAGCCCGCUUUUAUUUUUAAGCUUUACUCUGCCUUGAAGAAGGGUGGUACUCCCUUGAAAUAUAUUGAAGAAUUCUUAAAAGAGAAAGGGUAUCCAAAUGAAACCCACUUUUUACGCAUAAUUGAACGAUUGGGAAUUGCUCCUGCGGGGUCAGCAGAAGAAGCUUUUGCAAAUAUCCCAAGCGAUCCGCAUGUUGGAGGGCUAAGUCAACCUGAUGGGAAUGAUGAUGAUAAGAUGUACACUUAUUUUAAGCCUAGAAUGGGUGUUGCAGCGAAUAUUCGAAGCAAUAGAACGGAUUUGUUUCGCUCGGAGGAACACACGCGACUUUACUCUAAGUUGCUAAAGCGAGGGGUGAUCAACUCUAGAAGUGUGGAUUUUGAUUUUCUUGAUUCUCUGAAUGUCAAGUUGCGAGAAAAAUUCACUCUUCUUCAACUAGAACGGUUUUGUUUUGAGACGACAGAGGCUCAUGCUGAACUCACUGCUUACUUCUAUUCUAAUCUAAGUUUCUUGGAUGCGAAUAGAUUCUCAUUUAGUGUUCGAGAUCAGAACUAUGUAGUUGACAUGGACACAUUGGCUGAUGUGAUUGGGGUAGAAAGAGGGAAAUUCCAAUCAAUUAAUAUGUCUAUUGGAUGUGCGACGGUAGAGCUUGUUCGGGAGGGAAUGGCGGAAGGACGAAUUUCAUAUUUGAGGAUGAAUGCCUCCAAUAUUUUACUUCAUAAGAUAGUGAUCAACUGCCUCAGACCCAAAUCGACUUUGAAGACUGAUGUUUCAAACUCGAAUGCAAAGCUGAUGUAUGCCUUUAACACUGGCAAAAAGUUCUCUCUUCCACACACUAUCAUGUUCCAUAUAUACAGAACGGUGGUGAAAGACAAGGACCAACUUCCUUACUCAGCACUUGUCACUAAGUUAUUCAGACAUUUGAAUAUUCAGCCUCCUAGGAUUCUAUGUAUUCGAACCUGCGAUCAAAUGGUGGUGGGACUGAAAAUGGUUUCCAAAAUGCGUCUUAAGGAACUUAACAAAGCUUUGGAGCGAUUCAAGGAGAAAACCCCUGUCAAGACUCACCCAGUCUCUUCAGCUGCAAAACGGAAAGGGAAGGAGCCCAUGAUUGCUCCAUCCAGGAAAAGAAGAGCACUCAUCUUGGAGGAUGAAGAAGAUGAGGAAGAUAUUACCAUUUCUGCACUUAAAAGCUUACAUCGUUCCGUUCCAGAGACAGAGGAGAGACAAGAUCAAGAUAGAGAAGAGUCAGAUCAAAGAAGUGGAGAAAGAGAAUCGUUGAGAAAAGAAGCAGAGAAAGAAAGGACUGCAGAAGAAGAAGAAGAAGAAGAAGGCAGAGGUGAACAAGAGGAAACAAAGCAUGAAGAGUACUUCUCACCGCCUGAAGGCAAUGAAACAAGGGGAGUUACUGAGAAAAGAUGUACAUCUUCAAUUGCUUUUACUAGUGAAGAUGUUAGUCGUUCACCUGCAGAUCCAGAAGACAUCUAUGUCUCUCAAUUCCCUGAGGAAGGUCAUGAGGUUUCAUCGCCAAGUCUUGGUGCUCAUACAGAAAUGCCAUCAUCUGCUAAUAUACCUCAAACUGAUCAUGUAGAGGCCAGUACUCAGACUGAUAAUACAGUAGACUUUCGCAGAGUACUUGAUGUUCUUAUGAAAAUGCGAGGGCAAAUUUAUGCCCUGGGAUGCGAAGUUCAAAAUUUGUAGAAUGCAGGUCAAGCCUCUUCAGUUUCCUUGCAUGAUCAAAUUCAUGCCCUUGCUCUUCAAGUUCAAGCUAAUGCCAAGGGUGAAGAAAUGACUCAAUUGAAGGAGGACUUGAAAAAGCUAGAAGAGAUUGUCUAGUCAAUGGGAGAUUUCCAGCUUGUUCACGUUCCAAAGCAAUCCUAAUUCCAUUCUCUUUUCGUCUCUGCCUUUUUCAUGCUGACAAAAAGGGGGAGAUAUGUUGCAAAUUUGAGAUUUAACUCUUGACUUUUUGAUUGACUUUGACUUUACUUUUGUUUGGUUAUGGUUGUGACUGGUAUGUGAUUAUGACUUGAUUGAAUUUGGAUUGUUUGAUCAUUUAAAUGUUUACUGCAGUAUCUUAAGCAUUGUGGGUAUUUCAUGACAGAGAUAGUUGUUUACAGGACUAACUUGUUUCCUGCGGAUGCAGAUUUAAUGCUGUCUUUACUAAGCCAAUUACCUUUUGUGAGAUAUCCAUGUUUGCUUGAGUAUUGUCUUACAGGUCAAAGAUAUCCAAAUCUACGGGAAAGUUUUGUCACCAUAAAAAAGAGGGAGAUUGUUGGAGAAAACUUCCUUGCAUAUUUUGAAGCUAAAAAAACAUUUUCAUCAGUUUAGUCUGAAGACUUCAGACUCUUUCGUCAAAGUCUGAAGAUUGCUGGACCGCCAGACUCAAGAUUCAAAGUCUAUCCUCAUUGACAGUUUCUAGACCGUCGAAGAAGACUUAUCCAGAAUUGAGUAUUUCUUUAAGGAUUUGAUUCUAUCGACUAAAGAAGAUCUCUCGGCUGGAUAUAGCAUCUCGGAAUCCAUUAUUUAUCUUGAGAUUGAUUCAGGCAUUUUGGAUCCAUUGAUUGACGAAGUAUACUUGGAAAGUUCUACUUAUAGAAACCUAGAUCCUGAUUGUAUGAGCGAGCAGAAUUGGUGGGCUAUCGUCAUAUUCCUUAAAUAACUCGAAAUCUCCCUAAUUGAUUCUGUCCAACGGGUAGAUUGGAAGAGCUCCUUUGGUAAGUGUCAACGGUUGUGAUGGCAUGGAGGAGUAUAUAAGGAAGACAUUCUAGUUAUUCAAAUGUGUGCGCGAUAGAGAAAUUCCAAAGUCUGAAGCUUCUUAUUCUUUGUAUAUUCAAUUGUUGAGCGUGAACUUGUACUCAAAAGAGAGUUUAUACUUCUGUGAGACCUUGAGGAAGUGUAGCAAAGUCUCUACACUAUGGAAUUAAGGAAGAGCUAUACUGUAACAACUCUUUUGAUUCUUAGUGAAAUCCAGCCGAUGGGAUGUCAGUGCGAAAGAGUGGACGUAGGUUUGGAUUAAGCCGAACCACUAUAAACCUUGUGUUCUUAUUCUCUUCCCUAAGCUCUUUUACUUUGAUCGUAACUCUAUUUGAUUAUUAGAGUCUAAAUUCCUUUUCAUAAUCUAUUGUUAAACAGAGUUGGUUUAAAAGAAAAAUUUGUACUUUACUCUGCAAAAUUUGUUUUCGCACCUAUUCACCCCCUCUAGGUGCUCGUACUAGCUUUUACAAUCCCAACAUUCUUCCGUCUCCUAUUUGUCAGAAGUUUGGAUAGAGAGUAAAGUUUGAAAUUCUCUUCUAUAUCAUUCAUGUGUAUAAUUACAUCACCAUUUAUAAUACAAGAGAUCUAAAUCUAUAAGGAAGGAAAAUAUAUAAUAAAUCAAAUAAAAGAAUAUUCCCGCAAUCAAGAUCAUUUAAGAUCAAUUCCUAUCAGCACGAGAUCAAUUAAGACAACUAACCAUCAACAACCGUAUCUUCAACACUCCCCCUCAAGCUUGGCAGCCUAUACACAUCAAGGACACCUAGCUUGCUUAAUAGAUACGAAUGUUGCCUCUGACAUAAGGUUUUGGUAAAAAUGUCCACAGGCUGCUCUACUGUUCUUAUUCUUUUUUAACCGAUCACCCCACUUCGAAUCUUGUCUCGGAUGAAAUGACAGUCAACUUUUAUGUGCUUUGUCCUUUCAUGAAAAACUAAAUUCAUUGCCAGUUUAAGUGCAGCAUCGUUAUCACAGUAUAAGAUGGUGGGCUGAUUCACUUAUAUACCGAGAUCUUGUAGAAGGCCUCUUAUCCAGACUAUCUUGCAGCUAGUUUUUGCCAUCGCUCGAUAUUCCACCUCGGCGGAUGAUAAAGAAACAGUCGAUUGUUUCUUCGUCUUCCAUGAAAGUAGAGAAUCCCUUAACUUUAUACAGAAACCGAUAACAGAUUUUCUACUCAUAGGACAAGUAGCAUAAUCCGUGUCGCAAUAUGCUAACAUAUCCAUGUUAUUGUCUCGAGAUAACAAUAUUCCCAAUCCUAGACAUCCUUUCAAGUAUUUUAUAACUUUUAAUGCUGCAUUCAUGUGAGACUACUUUUGGAGCAUGCAUGAAUUGAUUGAGAGUUUGUACCGCAUAACAAAUGUCAGGUCUGGUCAUAGUCAAAUAGAUGAGUUUUCCAACAAGUCUUUGAUAAGCAGAGAGAUCCUUAAGUAAAGGGUCCUUGUUUACAGGUGACAAUCCUUUGUCAUAUUCAAACGUUGCCAACUUGACAUUCUGUUUGAUUGGAAUAACAGCUGGCUUGGAUCCCGACAAUCCUGCUUCCGAGAUAAUUUCCAAGACAAAUUUGCGUUAGUUAAGACAUAUGCCUUUAUUUGACCGUGCAAUUUCUAUCUUAAGAAAGUAUUUGGGAGAUCCCAAAUCCUUAAUGUGAAAUGUAGAAUGCAUGUAUUUCUUAACUCUAUCAAUGGCAGAUGCAUCAUUUCCCAUAAUGAGUAUAUCAUCCACAUUUAUGAGUAGGUAGAUCGACGAUGUACCUUGUUUCCAUGUGAAUAAAGCAUAGUCAUGCUUGGAUUGCUGGAACUUUGCAAUCACAAGUGCAUCAGUUGGCAUACCAUUGACGAGAAGCCUGUUUAAGGCCAUAUAGGGAUUUACGAAGACGACAUACAUUGUUCUCCCCCUGUCUACAAAAUCCUUGUGGAAGAUCCAUAUAAAUUUCAUCUUCGAGAUCGCCAAAAGCAUUGUGGACGUCCAUCUAAUGAGGAGGCCAAUCAUGUAGAGCAGCAAUAGAGAGGAAAGACCGCACUGUGACUUCCUUAGCAACAGGAGAGAAUGUUUCCGUAUAAUCAAAUCAUUCCAUUUGUGUGAAUCCCUUUGCAACUAAUCUGACUUUAUAAUGUUCAAUAGAUCCGUCCGCUUUGUAUUUGAUCUUGUAUACCCAUUUACAGCCUAUGGGUUUUCGAUGCGGAGGCAGGCGAACAAUAUCCCAAGUUUUAUUCUCCAUAAGGGCUCGCAAUUCAUCUUCCAUUGCCCAUUGCCAAUGAGGAUUUUUGGCUGCCUCAUCAUAUGAUGAAGGUUCCUGUUGCUUAGAAAUUUUGCUAAUGCAACACCUAUGUUCGGGCGAGAGAUGAACAAAACUAACAUAGGAGAAGAUGGGAUAAUGUGUACUGGAUUUGUGCAAAGAAGAGGAAACAUAAUCUAUUGUCCAUGUAGGUGGUUGAAUUGUGCGACCUAAUCGCCAAUGAUUAACUGGUACAGGUAGAUAAUCAUCCUGUGAUGCAAUAGGGGAAUUUCCUGCCGGAAUAGGCGAUUCUGGGGAAAUAGAUGCUUCAUUUUCAGGCCUUGCUUCAAUGUCAGGAAAUGUUGUAGAAGGUGACACUUGUGGAAGCAUAAUUACCGGUGCCUGUGGAGGAUCAUCUUCGCUUAAAAAAGGAUGAUGAGAUGUAGCAAGAUCAUCUUGUUGAUAAGAAGGUGAUUUAUCUUGAAAAGGAAAAAUAUCUUCAUGAAAAAUAACAUCUUUACUGACAAAAAAAAAGCCCACUGGAUGGAUCAAGUACUAAAUAUCCUUUAUGUUGAGUGGGAUAUCCCAUGAAUAUGCACUUCAGACCACGAGGACUCAACUUGUCCUGAGGACCCACGGUAGACACAUAGCAUAAGCAUCCAAAAACGCGAAGAUGUCGAAUGUCUAGACGUUUCCCAAAUAACAAUUCGAAAGGAGUCCUUCCAUUGAGAACAUGAGAUGGCAUCCGAUUGAUUAGAUAUGCUACUGUGACCACACAGUCUCCCCAAAACAUUUCUAGAAUUGAGGCUUGGUAUUUAAGAGCUUGGGCAACUUCUAGUAGAUGACGAUGUUUUCUUUCUACGAUCCCAUUUUGUUGGGGAGUAUAGACACAAGAACUUUCAUGAAGGAUUCCAUUGGAAAGGAAUAAUGAAGAGCAUUCAUGAUUAAAAAAUUCGUGAGCAUUAUCAGUGCGAAUCCAUUGUACAGAUUUAUUGAACUGAUUUUUAAUCAAAAUGAAGAAGUUCUUCAGAUUAGAAAGUACUUGGGCCUUGGAUUGCAUGAGAAAGACCUAAGUUGCUCUAGUAUGGUCAUCCACAUUUGUAAGAAAAAAAGAGAUCCAUCAUGAUGUGGAGUAUGAUAUGGUCCCCAGAUGUCCAUGUGUAAUAGUGCGAAAGCUUGAUUAGCACGUGAUGUGCUUUUCGGAAAAGGAAUUCGAGACUGUUUAACCAAUGGACAAAUAGGGCAUUUGGGAUGAGGAAAAGCGGCACUGUGGCCAAGACGCUGAUGAGAUAAAAAAAAUAUUUUUAUUAUUGUUUGCAUUACAUGAAAUGCUCUUACUUAAAGGAAAAGAUGCAAUAUCAAAGCUCUUUGGAAAAGUGUCCUAGAGCCCUCAUGAUUUCUACCCAAGCCCAUCAGUGUCCCAGUCGAAAGGGCCUAAAAGAGACAGAUGUCAGAAUCAAAAAAGACCUGACAGGAGUUGUCUUCACAAAGUCUAGACAUGGAAAUGAGGUUAAACUGGAAAUCAGGAAUGAAUAGAACAUUUUUGAGUUUGAUGGAAGAACUGAGUUGGACAUCCCCAAUUUUAGUAACUAAAGUGUCACUACCAUUUGGAAGACGACCAGAAGUAUGUGCCAAGGGCUUAUCAAUUUUGGAAAAGAAACGUUGAUCGCAGACUUUAUGAUCACUAGCACCUGAAUCAAUAAUCCAUGCUUUAUUGGAAAUAGUACUCAUUAAACAAUGGGAAAUAUCUGUAUAAUUGGUUGUCUAGUCCUGAAUUCCCAUUUGAUUUAAGGCCCUCAUAAUUUGUUGAAGUUGAUCAUUAUUGAAGGGCUAAUUGACCUUAGCAUUUGUUGCGACAGAAAAUUCCCGUUCCUUCUUAUCUGCCGGCUUCCCAUGUAAUUUCCAACAAUUUUCUUUAGUAUGAUAAGGCCGUUUGCAAUAAUCACAAAAUUUACCUUUUCCUUUGUUGGAAAUAGCUUUGUUGGAUGAUGUGGAAGAAUUCUGGCCAUUUGAUCCCUUCCAAGUAGGUACCGACAUGGCCAAUUUUGGGCCGUUCGAUCGCGGUGUAGCAAGGAUCAAAUGUGAGCUGUCUGAUUUUGCUUAAAGCCCUCCACCAUUGGAUCCAAGGAAUGAAUCUCGGCCACUCAUUUGUCUCCCAUAUCCUUGGCCGUCGAAUCUCCCAAAUAAAUAUUGGUCGUUGGCUUGAGAUUGAAAAAAGACUUCAUCUUCUUCCUCGUGAAACCCUAGCAUCCUGCCUGGGUUUCGUGGGGGACCUCCAUGAUUGUGCAUCGCUGCAGCCAAUCGUUGCUCCGGUGAAGCAUUGGCCACAAGGAUGACUUGGUCACCUAUUUUGACAUACUCCAACGACGCCAACCGUUGAGAUUCCUCUUGAACAGCAAGCUGGUAUAUGCGACUGUUGACACCUAAUUUUAGCAAAUCUAGGAAAAUAAAGAAAAUAAAAAUUGCAUUAGAACAAAUAAAAGGAAAAAAUGAAAAAAAAUGUGGGAAAUUGAUUUGAUUGAUUAUGCUUGGAAAUUUGAAAUUCUAACAAAUAUUCGGAUUUUGUUAAAUGCAUAAGCAAUUUAAAAAUCAAGUGAAUAAAGGGCACGGAUUUUACAAAAUGGAAUAAAUCUGAGAAAAAUUGAGCUGAUUGCGAAAUCAUGCUCUGAUUUACAACUUUGAUUUAAUGUGACAGAAGAUGGAAACUCGAAAAAUGCCAUACAAAGCGGCUGUCCGGAAUCAAUAUAAAAGAGAGCUUCAUUUUUUGUAAUGAAGGGGGAAUUUAGAAAAUUCGAGAGAAAAAUUUGCGAAAGAAUUCAUGAGAAAAGGAGAGGAGACUGAAAAAAAAAAAAAAAAAAAAAAGCAGAGAGGAAAGGACGUGCAGCAGAGAAGAGAGAGAGAGAGAGAGAGAAAAAGAGAAAAGAAAAAGAAAAAGGUUCAUGUUCAUCAUCUUCUCCGAGUCUCCCCUCGUCGUUCCACCUGCCGACCUUCGCUGCGCCGGUUGCCGCCACCCUGCCACCGCCUUUGGACACGGUUGCUGAAGCCGCGAAGAUCCCGACGCCGGAGCCGCUCCUGUCCUGCUCUGCCACUCAACCGGGAUGCAAGAUGCCCGAAGGUUUGUGCCUGAAGCUCUUCGCGACGCCAGGUUGGGUGCGAGCGAUAAAUGCGUGGGAUGCAAACAUUGGUCCCUGGAAGAAACAUGAUGAGAUCCUUGUGAAAUAUAAGAAUUGAAAUUGAAUCAUGUGCAUGGGUAUAUGCAUAUGGCAUGAUGCAUGAUCUACUUAUGAAAGUAAAUUGAUGCUAUUUGAUAUUAAAAAUACGAUCAUGAAGGCAUGAAUGGAUCUUAUGGUGAUGUAUGCUUGAUAGCAUGGAUGAUAUGAAUCAUGAGUAUGUAUGUGCAUAUGGCAUGGAAUGAACCUCAUGGAAAUACAAGUAUGGUUACAUGGUGGUAUAUGCACGAUGACAUGGUAAGAUAUGCAUGACUGCAUGGUGAUAUAUGCACGACUGCGUGAUGAUGUAUGCUUAAUAGCAUGGAUGAUAUGUGCUUUACUCGUGAUAUCUUGAUUGUCUUGCUUGAUGCAUUGUGUAGUUUGAUGGAUCUUUACUGUUGAGUGGUUGUAUUCACCCCUUUGGGGAUCAACAUUUCAGAUUGAGCUAUGCCUCUAGCACCUGUCACGUGUGGUACGUUUUAUGGAUUACCUUUUGAUGUCGAGGUCGAGUGCACGGAGCACCCUUGCUUCGGUGUUCAUGAUUUGGUAUUUAUCUGCCUCCGUGUUUUGGUCAUGUACGAUGUGGGCUUGCCUAAUGGCCCUAUAGUACAAGAGUUUUUUACUGUCCAUGUUCGCCAAGAUGGGAGGAUGAUAGGGAUGCUGCCGCCGCCGCCGGCCGAUGCACCAGGAUGGGUGUGAUAGGAGCGUGUGAUUGGUGGAGGUUGCCACUUUUUGGGAUGGCCGACACUAGCCGAUGGAUAGUUGUACAUGUUUUAUGUAUAGUCGGGUUCUUUUUUAUUUUAGUGCAACUUAGUUAUAGUCUUGGCCUUUUUGUCAUACCGACUUGUGAAAUCCAUCUUAGUAUGUAAAUAAAAGUGAUUUGGCCAUAAGAUGCAUAUAUAUAUGAAAGUUUGUAGUUGGUGUGUAUUGCAUGGUAUUGUUUGGUUGUGUAUAGGUUAAGGAGAUGAUAAGUAUGCUUCCGUUAUAUGAUCUGCGCUAGGACCGAUUGAGAUGGUACAAACCCCCAGGAUUUAUGGACCCGCUGCAAAUUUGAAAUGGUAUCAGAGUGGAAUGUUAUUAGGACAAGUGAAAAGGUAAGUAAGGGUAAGCGGACUGUGAUGACCCAAGCAGAUCGGAGGCCGCGUUGGGGGGUGCCACAAAUGAUCCUUUCGUUUUUCAACCCAUGAACCAAGCCUACGUUACGUCCCUUGCAAAGUCUCUUCUAGUUAUGGCACUUGGAUUAACCUAGGGGUUCACAUGUUUUAAGCAUCGCUCGAAGAAGUGUGAGCAAUAUUAUUGCUUUCUUAUUUUGAAGGGUUCUUGACUUGUAAACCCAGAGAUGAUUACAGAAUAUCACUCAUUCUUUCAAAAGCCUCAACUCAAAGAGUCCAUUUUGUUAAGCCAUUGACCAGGCCCAUAUCACAGUCCCUUUUAAAGACCUCUCAGAUUGGUCAGAUUGUACCACUUGCGAGAUUGCACAAACCCUUGUUUGGCAUGAUGAUAGUAAGAUAGAGUGAUUGUCAAAAUCAUGCAUCAAAUGUCAGGAUGAAACGACCAUUUUUAAUGAUGACGAGUGAAAAGUCCUUUCAGACGAGGAGAUCCCUCAUUUGACACAUCUAUGAUACUCAUGUGUUCAUAUUGGAAUUUUUUUUUGAAAUCUUUCCCAAUUUAAAUUAGGUAAUGCAAGAUUGAUAGAAAUCAUCACGCAUGAACCUUACUUGAAUUUAUGCAUGUCUGUGAAUGCAUGUUGUCUCUCCUAUAACUAUGUUUUGCAAGAGACAUAUCCCCCAAGGAACAGAGAUGUCACCAGGUAAAUAUAUCUUUAUUCAUACCUUAAAUACUUGUCAUUAUACAUGUAUUCCUUUUCAAGUACUAGCACUUGAUGGAGUUGCCCCCCAAAGAUUUUUCCUAGAUUCAUCAUAAUCAGGUGAUCGUAGAAUGGUACGGGUCCUGGAAAAUGAAUCCCAAUUUAGGCGACUGUAGAAUGGUACAGGUCCUAGACAACACCUAUUUCUUCAUUUAGGCGACCGUAGAAUGGUACAGGUCUUGAAAAUGAAUUCAAGUUUAGGCGACCGUAGAAUGGUACGGGUCCUAGGCAAUACUAGUUUAGGCGACUGUAGAAUGGUACGGGUCCUGGAAAAUCAUUUUUUCGUCAAUGCGACCGUAAAAUGGUACGGGUCCUAAGCAGCAUUCAAGCGACCGUAGAAGGGUACGGAUCCUGAAAAAUGAAUCCCCGUUUAGGCGACCGUAAAAUGGUACGGGUCUUAGACAGCAUUCAGGCGACCAUAGAAUGGUACGGGUCCUGAAAAAUGAAUCCUCGUUUAGGCGACCGUAGAAUGGUAUGAGUCUUGAAAAAUCAUUUUUUUUCGUCAAGGAGACCGUAGAAUGGUACGGGUUCUAGACAACAUUCAGGCAACCGUAAAAUGGUACGGGUCUUGGAAAAUCAUUUUUUUUUUCGUCAAGGCGACCGUAGAAUGGUACGAGUUCUAGACAGCAUUCGGGCGACCGUAGAAUGGUACGGGUCCUAGAAAAUCUUUUUCGUCAAGGCGACCGUAGAAUGGUAUGGGUCCUAAACAGCAUUCAGGCGACCGUAGAAUGGUAUGAGUCCUGGAAAAUAAAUCUCCGUUUAGGCGAUCGUAAAAUGGUACAGGUUCUAGACAUAACUAAACAAUGCCAUACCAGGCGACCGUAAAAUGGUACGAGUCCUGGAAAAUAAUUUUUCGUUUAGGUGAUCGUAGAAUGGUACGGAUCCUAGACACAACCAAACAAUACCAUACUAGGCGACCAUAGAAUAGUACGGGUCCUGGACAUGUAACACCAAUAUAUCUUGAGUUACUCUACCAUCCUUGAAGGUAAGUAAUUCUAGGAAAGUUCCUUUAUCAUUUGCAUUAGCAUUUCCAUGUAUCAUAUAAAUUUCAUUCAAAAUGGGAUUCAAUUUUCCCAAAAAAAAAAGGAGUCAUUUAGUUCAUGUGCAUGAUCAAAAUUUAAGUCUCAACUUGUCUUUGAAGGCAACCUCUAUGAGCUCACCUUCAAAGAGGAGCAGCUGUUGACACCUAAUUUUAGCAAAUCUAGGAAAAUAAAGAAAAUAAAAAUUGCAUUAGAACAAAUAAAAGGAAAAAAUGAAAAAAAAUGUGAGAAAUUGAUUUGAUUGAUUAUGCAUGGAAAUUUGCAAUUUUGACGAAUAUUCGGAUUUUGUUAAAUGCAUAAGCAAUUUAAAAAUCAAGUGAAUAAAUGGCAAGAAUCUUACAAAAUGGAAUAAAUUUGAGCAAAAUCAAGCUGAUUGCGAAAUCAUGCUUUGAUUUAAUAUGACAGAAGAUGGAAACUCGAAAAAUGCCAUACAAAGCGGCCAUUCGGAAUCAUUAUAAAAGAGAGCUUCAUUUUUUGUAACGAAGGGGGAAUUCAGAAAAUUCAAGAGAAAAAUUUGCGAAAGAAUUCGUGAGAAAAGGAGAGGAGAAUGAAAAAAAAAAAAAAGCAGAGAGGAAAGGGCAUGCAGUAGAGAAGAGAGAGAGAGAGAGAGAGAGAGAGAAAAGAAAAGAAAAAGAAAAAGGCUCCCGUUCAUCAUCUUCUCCGAGUCUCCCCUCGCCGUUCCACCUACCAGCCUUCGCUGCGCUGGUUGCCGCCACCCUGCCACCGCCUUCAGACACGGCUAUUGAAGCUGCGACGAUCCCGACACCAAAGCCACUCCUAUCCUGCUCUGCCACUCGACCGCGACUGCUCAGCGCAGAUCUCGCCUUUGUCGAACCCCUUUGCCGAUCUCGCCUUUGUCGAACCCCUUUGCCGAUCUCCGCUGCUCAAGAUCCGCCCAUGAUGCCUCUGCCUAACGCCUGCCGAAGCCGCAAUGAUCCCGGCGUCCCUGCUCACCUCCGCCCGUGAAGUCGCCAUCGCUGCCUAGCCGAGAUCCAGGCGCCGGAGCUCCUCGCCGCAACCGCCCAAGUCCUCUGCCCAUGACUUGUAGUGCCCGACGACCCCUCCAUCUCUACCGCUAUCGACGACCUGCCGACUCCGCCCGUUGUCUGAGCACUGGCCCCCCUCCGAGCGACCGCCCCACACAACCCUAGCUACUCCCACGACGCCUGACCCACGACGUACGACCCGCCUGCAACCUAUGAGAUCUCACACCGUCGCUCCACACCUCUGCCCCGCUCGCGAAGCCGCCAUUGCUGCCGAGCUACUCCACUAGCUCAACGCCCCGAUGCCCUCGCUCGCCUGCUGUGCCUUGCUGUCGUCAUCCGCGAGCUCUGCCCGACGCUGCUCGCCACCGCUCCGUAAUUCCCCUCACCGGCGAUUGCACUAGCGCUCGACGUCCACUCCGCUUCUGCUCUGACGUCGUUGUUUCCCCCGCGAUGCCCCCUCACCGGUGACUCCUCUCACCGGAGUAGCCCCCCACGGUUACCAAGCCCAAUUUUGAAGAAAGAAAGAAAAAAACACAUUAGGUAGUUUUUUUAGUUUAUUUUAUUUGUUUUUAUUUUUAUUUUAUUUUACUUUAUCUUGUUUUUUUUAGUAUAAUUAGUCCUUAAUAUAUGAUUGGAAAUUCCAACAUAUUACCCGAUUCGCAACCGCGCUUUGGGUUUUUUUAUUUCAUCUUUAAGGCUUUAGAUGAAAUAAUUAAUCAAGCGAGAAUAAAAUUGAUAUUUUGAUUUUUAAGGCUUAAGAUCAAUUUAUCGAUUUUAUCAGCGAAAUAUCACCCAUUUAUGUAAACGAUGUGUGAUAUUUUUAAUGAUUUUGGAUGAUUUAUUUUGUCUUGACUGCUUUAUUUAUCUUGAAAUGUGUUUGAAUUAGAUUAUCGCAUGCUUUAGGGUAAUUUACAUAUUUAGACUAAGCAUUUUAUUUAUUCUAAUUUUUUGAAAUAAAAAAUACCAAAAACAUGAAUUAGGAUGUUAGAUUUUCAUUUCAUUAAUUUGAAUUGCAUGUUUAAUUAUUUGACAUUUUUUUAAUUUCGAAAUUAAUUAAAAAAACAAAAAUAAUCAUGCAUAUGCCAUGUAAGAUUAUGGCAUCCUUUGUACGUCAUCGCGCAUUUGGGUAAAAUUGCAUAUUUCAUUUUAAGUUUAGAUUGAUUUAGAUAGACUGCAUUUUAAGUUAGAGAUUGGUAAGUUAAAAUAACAUCUUUGUUUUAAUUAGGGAAGUUGGAUAGAAUCUUAAUUUAGCUAGAUAAUUUUCACAUUUUUCUAAUUUCGAAAUUUCAUAAAAAAAUACAAAAAAAAAAUGUCUUUGAAUGAAUUAGUUUCAAUCUCUAGGAUAUAUUGCAUUUUUUAAAAAAUAAAACAAAAUAAAAAUGUCAUUGCAUGUCAUUUAGAAUUAGAUUCAUGAAAUGCAUGCCAUUUAGUGAUUGAUGCUAGGUCCGUUCAAUUAGAAAUUGCAUGUCAUUAGAAUUGGGUCAUUUAGUUAAUACUGCAUUGCCUAUUGCAUGAUUUUCAUUAAUCAAGUGAAAACAAAAAAGAAAUUGCGUGUUAAUUAGAAAUCAUAUUUAGGGUCGUUGAUGUGGAUUAUAAUUUAACAUUGCAGAUACUUUGGUUGCUUUGAGAUAAAUUUUUGCAAUUUAUUCAUUGUUUAUCCGUGUGUUAAAUUGGUGGUUUGCACACCCGUAUAAUCAUCUCACAUGUUAGGGAAAUAGAUUUAAAAUCAAUUUAAGCUGCCUACAAAAACAUUUUUUUAAAAUAAAAGAAUGGUAUCAAAAGGGCAUUAGAGAAAUCUAGUGUAACCAAGUCCCCGUACCCAUAGUCUCUAGUUCGUAGGAGUAAAGUAAACUCCCGUUACUUUAAUUGUGUUUCUAAUCGACCCACCAAAAAAAUAGAUUAGUGGCGACUCCUAGAUAAAAUCUAUCUGCAUGUUAAGAAUUUGAACAUAAGUCGCGAAUUGGUAUAGGCUUGAAAAGUCCGAGUUAAGUCUAGGCUUAACAAUCCAUUAGCCAAACCCUAGGUGAUUCACACCUGAAAAAAUUGGUCACGACAGUGGCCGAAGGGAGGAACCGGGUCCAUGGCCAAGAUCUAACUCCGAAAUGGCAAGUAUGUUUCGUUAAGGAUAAGUAGAAAUUGUGUGACAUUCUCUUGUUCUUUUAUGGCUCGAUAUUGUGCCAAGGUAUUUUCGAGCCCCUCCAACUUCUCCUCCGCCAUUUCAAGUUCAUUCCAGAGAGCGGACAAACAGUUGAAGAUGACAGAAAUGGACAAGUUUCCCUGUUUGAGUUCUGAUAGAGCUUGGGUUAACGAAAAAAAAUUUGCUCGAUCGAGCUUCCCAUACAUUUCUCGGAGGUUGUCCCAUAGUCUCUUAGCGUCUUUGUUAGUGGUAUUCCGACAAUAACUUCCGGUGUAAGGCAGUUCCCGAUCUAGGUCCACACCAACUGAUUACAUUUUCUCCAUUGUCGGGCAAGUCGAUUGUUAGAAGGAUUCGAACAGAACCGUCCAAAAAACCAUCUUUGUCUUUGGUCACCAAGGCUUGUUGCAGCUCGCGAGACCAUAUGGAGUAAUUUUCUGGUCCCGAGAGCUACUGCGUGACAAGACAGAGCUUGGGUUCGUCGACGGCAGACAUGUACAGUGGGUCUCCAAGUUCCGACCGUCCUUGGAUGAGACCUGCAAGCGGAAAGAAAUUGGGUCCGUAAGUCAGGUAGGGAUUUCCUCCCAGACCCGAUGGACCCGAUUCAUGAUGACCCGAAAAAGACCAACCCGCCCCAUAUCCAUGACCCGCCCCAGCAACAUGUGAUGGACUUCCUCCCAAUCCACCAUUUGUUCCGAAUUCUCCAGGACUUGGAUUUUGGGCCGGUCUUCCUGGGUUCAGCUGAACGAGUAUGGGUACCCAUUGAAUAUAUGGACCUGAAAAAAUUUGUCCAGGGUUAUCCUGUCUGAUCCUUACAACGUGUUCAACAGACUCGAUUGUCCUUCAUUAUAUGAUGGUCUUCUCUAGUGUUUUGCAGGAAACGUUGUCUCCUCCUCGGUUGUUGAGAGACUAUUCGUCGCCUUUGGACACACUAGAAUUUGUACCUUGAUUCUUCGGCAUGGUGCUCCCUUUGUCGACUAAAAAGAAACUUCACGGUUGUUGACUAAAAAAUCACAGGUCUGGCGUUGAUGCUGCCAAUCCAAGAAGAUGAAACAAAAAAGAACGAAGGAAGUUUUCUCAAGGAUAAAUGUAUAGCGGAAGCUAGAUGGAUGAGGGAGGCUCUGAUACCAUGUCAGAAGUUUGGAUAGAGAGUAAAGUUUGAAAUUCUCUUCAGUAUCAUUCAUGUGUAUAAUUACAUCACCUUUUAUAAUACAAGAGAUCUAAAUCUAUAAGGAAGGAAAAUAUACAAUAAAUUAAAUAAAAGAAUAUUCACGCAAUCAAGAUCAUUUAAGAUCAAUUCCUAUCAGCACGAGAUCAAUUAAGACAACUAACCAUCAGCAACCGUAUCUUCAACACUAUUCAAUCGCAAUUACAAGCAUGAAACCUUCUCGUAGUAGCUCCAUAACACAAAACCGACUCAAAAACUCACAAAGAAAACUACCUGAACACAUUCGGCGUGAUCGAUGUCGCAACCCGAUCUCGCCGCCCUCGCGUCAAAGGGAGGAAAGGUCAAGCUUAGGGGUACUUGAUCUCAAGAUCACGAGCUCUUCCAAGCUCGUACCCGCGUGACACCGAAUUUUAUACAGUCUAAUCAUUUAUAACAACCUAAAAAUAAACGAGAGUUGCCACUAGCCUUAUUUUGGGGGUCGGCUAGAAAACUCAAUCGAGAGUCGGGAGUGUUCUCUCGAUUCCUACGUAACCAGAUAUCUAAGUUCGGGGACUUGGGUUACGCUAAAAUUUCUAUUAACGCCCUUUCGGUAUCUAAACAGUAUGUUGUGUUUUUCUAACAUGUCCAUGCGUCUCUUUUUAUAUUUUCGGGAUCAUCAAUUCUAAACUAAGUGAUCAUGCGUGGUUAGUCAUUUUCAUACUAUUCUAUUUCUAGAAAAACAAGAAAAAAGAAAACAAUCAAUAGAAUUGAAAUUGCAAGACAGUAAGUAAACAAACAAGGAAAGCAGUAAAUCUGUCAUGCAAUCCUAAAAAAAAUAAAAGAGAUAAAAGAGAAAUAUGAUUGAAAAAGAUGAAAGAAAGAAAGAAAACCCGCAACUUGUCGGGUUUUAUACAACAAAUGGAACCCGAGACAUAUGUCGGGAAAAUGAAUAGUACAUGAUAAUGGUCUCACGCAAAGGUCCAUCUUUGGGAUCCUAAUCUAAACCUCAUCUAAGAAACAUGGAUAACUAGGUGCAUACAAAUGAAAGAAACAAUCAUCACAUAUCAAAACGAUCAAAAGCAAGACAUAUUUUGUGUUCAAGAAGAGUAACUAAAGUCACAAAGUCUAUAGGUCAAAUUCUAGGUGAUACCCCAAGGUUCAGCAUUAUUAUAUAUCACACCUAAAUCAUUCAUCUAAUAAUCACAUGUGAAACGUAUAACAUGACAAGCAUUCAAACCAUAUGACCUUAUUGUCAGAUUAAGAACACACAAUUUUAUAAAAAUCAUUCUGGGACAGCAGACUUUCAGAUAUGAGGAGCAAACAUAUGACAAGGCAAACAAUUGCCAAAUCAAGCACUUUAUAUGUCUAUGGAAAGCUUGAGAAAUAUAUUACAAAUCUCUAGAAGACAUUAAGUCCUAAUAACGUCAUCUACCAGCUCAUUCCAAGGACCGAAGCAUAUCAGUCAAAACAGGCAUACGAAUUUCCACAUCAGAGCAGAACACAACAAUUUUCCAGAAUUACUUCCUAACUUUUAAAGAAGAUUUCAUGUGGCUAAUGAUAUCGGAUCAGGGUGUAUUAUAGCUCGUUGGAAAGCUAGUUGAACCAUCUUCAACUCUCAUGAAGGCAUCAAACACAGAAAACCACAGCAGCUCGUAUCAAGUCAUUUGCACAAAAGGUUAUCCGAAACAGAGAACCAAUCAGAACAGCAAAAUUUCAAACAAGGUUAGGGAUAUUCUAGACAUACUCGACCUGGGUAAAUGAUCUUCAAUAAUCACGAAAUUUUUAUUUGAUAUUGAUUGGAACCUAAUGAACAACUUUCAUUUAGACAUCAACUUUAGAAUCUAAUCACAAAAAAAAAAUCAUGUGAAAAUGGCAAACGGCACAUGUCAUGCCAGAAACUUAUCAUCGAAGAAUUGAAGUCAGAAUUUCCAGAUUCAGCCCCUAAAUUUAGUGGCUUGUUUCUCACAGCAAAUGAACUUCAAUUUUAACAGGCAACCUAUUGAUUCAAAGCUUUAAGUAGUCAGAAUUAUAUUCCUAGCUGAUUUCUUCCCUUAAUUUCUACGUUUAGUUGCCCAAAUCAGCCCAUUAAGCACAUUGACUCAUUAACCUCCGAAAUUCUAGAACAGAUUAACAUAGGACGAUCAAUCGCCAGUCAACUCCUACUCAUGGAUUGCUGAACAUAUGCUGUUCAAAACUUUCAUUCGGAUUCUAUUAGAUGUCCUACCCAUGAACCUAGAAAAUUUCAAUGUCAAAGUUGGUCUCAGUGACCAGAGAGCAAGAAACAGUCUUAGUAUGUCGCCCGAUUCAGGUAAAACAUGCUUAACACUAAUAAUGAACAGGCUUCAAUCAAUUAUAUGCAAACGACGCAAACUGAACAGCAACACCAAACUCACAAUAACUAUCAAUUCAGUGGCCAGUAAACAAAAAUAGCUAAAGAAAGAUCCACAAACAAAAUCGCCCUAUCAGAGCAUCGUCAUUUCUGAAUCUAAAGCUUGUACGGUUCAAAUGUCAAACCUAGACAAACUCUUCCACUAACGAAACUUCAAGAGAGGAUAGAUUGAGCGCAAAACAGAGUGAUCGAGAGAGAGAGAGAGGGAGAGAGAGAACCUGAUCGAGCUAGAGACAGAGAGCCGUUGUCGCCGAUCAGUUUUGGAGCUCUAUCCUUGGAGCUGAGCCGAGACUUCCCACUCGGUGCGGACCCGAACCCCUGUAUCUCGAGCUCCAGAAGGGUGUGAUCAAUCAAGUGAGCGAGAGUCCGAAUGAGAGAACCCGCUUGAGAGAGAGAGCGGAACCCCUGAUCGAUCCAGAGAGAGAACCCGAUCCAGAGUCAGCGAUAUCCCUGUCCGAAAGCGAGAUCUCGCGCGCCUCCGAUCCUCGCCAACAACCGUCCGUCCAAAAAUGGGAAAACCGAGAGAUCCAGAGAGGGAGCUCUGAGAGAGAAUCGAGAACCGAGAGUCUCUCCGCUCGAGCGAGCUAACCUCCGAUCUCCAGAAAAAGAGCCAGAUCUGCUGUAUUCGUCAUCGCCGACGUCGCCGAUCAGAGAGCCGAACCCGCUCGAGAGCCACCGAUAGAGAAAAACGAAGAACCAGAGAGAUCGAGCGAGAGCCACCUCGUGCGGACGAACACCGGCGGCGAAAUCUGGAACGAACUACCACUCCACUCGCCGGAGACGGGGAUUUCAGCGGAGGAAGAGGUUAUUACCACCGAGAAGAGAGAGAUCUGGAGAUUUAGGGUUUCCUCCAAUCUGCCAUGGAAGAGCUCCAUCGAGCAGUUACAAAGAGGGAGAGAGAGAAUCCGGGGAGAGAGCGUCCGGUUUUUUUUCAAAGAAAGAGUGCCCGCGCCCCCCUGAUUGCCAAAGAAAGUCUCCGUUUUUUCCCCUUUUCAUUUUUUGUUUUCUUCUUUUCAUUUUUUUUCUUCUUUUCUUUACUUUUUUUUUUCAUUUUCAUUUUUUUUUAUGUUUUCAUUCAUCUUUUUUUUUUUAAUCUUUUUGGCUCUUUAUUUUUUAUAUUUUUUGCAAAAUGUUUGUUUAAAAUGUUGACAAAAAUUGUAGGUGUCAAUAAUCACGCAAGCUCCGGUACUCGGGAUUGGGCUUGGAGCCGUGGGUGUAACUGACGGCGGUCCAAACGACACCGUCGAGGCAGCCGAAGAUGGUGGUCCUCGAGGGCUGGUCCGGGGAGCCGGCGACCAAGUCGGGGAUCCGAUUGGCGAGCCUGAUGCAUUGGGCGCCGCCGAAGAACGAAGCAAGGACGACGGCAAGGGUCAAGAAAUUGGUCGGAGAGAGAGGAACGCUUCUCGAGAGACGAAUCGAGCGGGUCCCAGAGAGCGGCCGAGAGAGCUCUUCCAUGGCAUCGCCGUUGUCCAGCAGGAGCGGAGCGUCCGCAAGGGGGGAGGAGGAGGAGGAGCGAUUGGAUCGGGUUAUGGAUCUGCUUGUUCUUCCAAAUAUUAUUUUAUUAUUAUUAUUAUAUUUUAACCCAUUUUCACGCUUUUCUUUUCCUUUUUUUCACAACAUUUCCAAAAACUUACCGAAGGAUUUUUUUUUGGGCAAUCCCAGAGCUUUUCAGGUGAUUUCAAUUUAGACAAAACAUAUCACACCUUAGAAAAAUGUUUUCAAAGAAGUCAUUUUACGAUAUUUUUCGAUAUUCGACUUAAAUCUAAAAAUGAAUUGAAAAACUUUUAGUUUGUGCCAAUUAAAACUUCUUGUAUUAUAUAAAUGGGCUGAAAUGAUCACACGCCAUCUCUCUUCUCGUAAUUUUUGGAGAACCCACAACAAGUAGCUCGAUUUUCUUCCAACCUUGUCCGAAUCAACCCACGCUAAGAAAUGUGGCCUUUAUGCAUCUUGUUCAUCCACUCCCCUAAAAAGGUUGCUCGAUCAGAAGUUGCCGCCGGUCACUCAAGCAUUUUAGCCACAGAGUAGAACUAGAUUUUAAGAACUCUUAUUUUUCCAUCAUUAUUUGAAAUUUCCAGGGGAAAAUUCCAAAUAAAAGCCUAAAAUGGUGUUAUUUUCUCAAAAAAUUGCAUAUAAUCUACAUUAUUUCAAAUAAAGGUUUGAAAUGUCCAAAUUAGUUUCAAACAAAGGCCUGAACUUGCUGGUUGGCACAUGUGACUUUUCCAAUAGUCUGAACAAGGACACUUUUGUCGGAAAAAGUUUUCAAUAAAAAGAGAAGCCAAAUUUAUAAAAGUAAAAAACCCAAAUUUGUUGCUUUCUUUUCCCCAAAACACUUGAAAGAACGAAGGUCGAGAUCUAAGGUUUCGUUCGUUUUGCGGAAAAUAAUUUAUAGGAAAAUGUUUUUCGGAUUUUUCGACGUUUGUUUUACGGAAAAUGAAUUGUUUGGAGAAAAUAUUUUCUAUUUCAUUUUCAGGUUUCACCAAAAUACUGGAAAAUAAUUACAUUUUCUGGGAAAAUGGCUUCUCGAAAAAUAUUUUUCCAGAAACGUCACAUUUUCCGCGAAACAAGCGAAGCCUAAAUUUUGCACAUUGUGACAUUUUGGGGAGUGGCCGUAUAAAUGCAGAAGUUUCGAAAAACAUAAACUUUUCUGUCUAUCUAGUACUUAGUAGAAAUUUACAUUUUUUUUAAGGAUGAACCCCAUCCAUUGUUUUCAUUUAUGCUUCUUAAGAGUUAUUUACGGCAUCUGAAUCUUUCUUUGAGUUUAUGAACCGAAGUAAUGCAUUUAAGGAUAAUUUUCUGAUAUUAUUGUAAUUGGGCUCUUUUUAGGUAAUUUACGAUCCGUGGAAUUGAGAUCAUCAAUGUGUCCCCAUCAGCUUAGAAAACCAUAUGGGUAUUUUGGUAAUUUUCUGCUUAUGAAUGUUGAAGCCCGAAAUUUUAUUGACCAUCCAGGCGUCCAUUUUUUGCAAAAAUAUUUUAAAAAAAAAAUAUAUAUAUAUAUAUAUAUAUAGUAAUAAAAAAUAACGAAAAAUAAAUAAACAAGGAAAAUAGAAAAAAAAAUAAAAAUCAGGUGGCCCAUCUAUAUCAGGCCCGGUUCCUUUAGCAAGGUUUUCGGCCCACCUUCUUACCUCUCUUUGGGCUUAAUUUUCUCCUUUUUUUUAGGGCCUAGUAGUAUUUCUUUUUAGCCCAUUUGAAUUUACAUAGGCCCAGCCCCUUUGCCUUUCUUUUCCUUCUCCUCCUCCUCAUGCUCGCGGCUGGGAGCGUGGAGCGCGUGACCGUGACCGUGACCGUGACCGUGACCGAGCGUCUGUGAGGAACGAGGGCACGAGAAACAAGCCGGUGACGGAAGCAGAUCCAAGAGAAACCUUAUAGAAGGUGCUUAGCUGGUUGAGUGUGUAAGCAAAACGUAAAAAGAUUCCUUCGCCUGGAGGGAGGUCGCUGGCUGAAGAAGGUGCUCCUACAAAAGAGAGAGAGCUCGGUGGGGGAAAAAAAAGAGCGAAAAAAACAGAGAGAAAAACGAAGGGAGAGAGCUCGCCGGAGGAGGGGUAUUCGAGAGGAUUGUCUGGAUCCCCCACGAGGAUCACCGGCGAAUCCUUUCCCCCCGGCCGCCGUGCUUUCUUUCGCUCAUUGUCACCGGAGUUUGAUAUCUUCGAUUGGGGACCACCGUUUCCGAGAGUUCCCCAUUUCUGCGAUCCUUCCCUUUCACACUCGAAAUCGUCGUCGACAAGUGAACGCUGAGAUAAGAUGAGUCUAGCUCUAGCUUCUGCCAAUAUCGCCGAUUACACAUCGUUCCCGGACCAGGUGAGUCUUCUCUCGGACGUGCUCCGUGUAUGCUCUGUUUUGGCCGGGAGCGAGGCGCUCGAUUUAAGCGACGAUAUCGCGAGAAAAUAUGGAUAGGAUGGGACUCGUUUGUUGCUGAAUAGCACGAUUUGAAUGUUCUUACGUCGUUCCUAGAUCGAGAAACCCAUCUAUGUUGAAUCGGGACCUUGCACGCCAACCGUUCGAUAAAAUGCUUCAAUGAAGACCCGAACUCGAAUCGUUAAGAUCGAAGCUUAGAUCUUCGUUAUCUGCGUGAUUUGUUCUAAUAUUGUUGUCCAGAUACUGAAAUCGUCGUUUUAUUCGAUUUUUGAGUCGCGUCGUCUGAGUCGGCCAUGAACUUCUCGCCGGAAAAUCCAUCCCCCUCGCUGGAGAAGCCCGCCAUUUGAGGCUGCCCUCGGACUUCUCGCCGGAAAAUCCAUCCCCUUCGCUGGAAGAGCCCGCAGUUUGAGGCCGCCCUUGUUUGUCCGUUCCCCUUUGUUUUGAUGUGCAUAUCUUUGUUUGCUAUGCUAGGAUGGAUGGAUUUAUGUUAAUAUGCGACUUCAGACUCCGGAUUUAUUCCGGCGACAUAGGAACCGCCAGUCAGCUAAUGAUCGGCGGUGGUGGCUGAAACUUUGGCUGAAGCGCAUCAGAAAAAUAAUGGAGGUUCGGGUGAAGUUGAAGGAGGUUGAACAAGACGGCUCGCGAAGAAGGAGAUGUUGUGUGAAAAAAAUAAUAAUAGUAAAAAAGGAGAAAAGAAAUUUAAAAAAAAAAAGAAAAUAGAAAAGAAAAUAAUAAAAGAAUAGAUAUAUGAGCUGGGGUGUUAAUAAAAGCUGAGCUGAGAAUGUGGGCCGUGUCCGUUUGGAUUUGGUCUAGAUUUAAGGACUGGGUUGGCUUUGAUGUGGGCUGGCGGUGGCUUUCGGCUGGGCUUUGGGUUUUUUAGGAAUUGGGUUCAUUGGUUGAGCCCAGUUAAGCCUAAGACCAGAAGACCCAACCCGGACUAUUAGUAUUAGGGUCCGGGUCCCAAGAAAUACAGAAAAUUCCAUAGAAAAUUCAGAAAAAUUACAAAUCCCUGGAAAAAGCUUUAAAAAUUAGCUUUUCAAGUAGUUUCGUCUUAAAAAGUGAAAAAUCCUUCAAAAAUUGGAACCUAAAAUUGAAUAAGAAGGCUUUACGAUAGGGAUUUAUGGAUGCCAUUUUUUUUCUAGAGAAAAUAUUAGGUUUGUGUGUCUUUACUCCGAUGACAUUCGGUUGCGCAUCAUAAUACCUUGAGUGUUAUUUUCAUUUUUAGAAUGGUUAUGAUGAACCCUAAAAAUCUUCGAUAGGCUGCCCUAACACUUUAAUUAGCACUUAAUCAAGUUUAGAUACUGAAAGGACAUUAGUUCUAAAACUAGUGUAAUCAAGUCCCUGAAUUCAAAAUCUCCAGUUGCGUGGAAAGUGAAAUAUUCUUUCAUAUCUCAUUUGGUUUCUAACCAACCUUAAUAUGUUGGUAGCGACUCUUCAUUUGAAACUCACAUAGGGUUAGUUGAAUGGAAAUUGAACAACUAAUGUCACACAAUGUAUGGAUUUGGCAAAAUCAGCACUAACUGAUGGCCAUUGGCCUAAAUUUGGCAAUCUCUCUAAACAUGUUUCCCCUCGAGGGUGGGUCAUGACAAGGAAUAUUAAAGAUGACACUUGGAUCUGUUUAUUUUGCCAAAAAUGAAUGAUUUGAAAAAUAUUUGAAAAUAAACAUUUGUAUCGCUUGAAAUAAUUUGUCAAUGAAUAAUAUUUUCAUUAUUCAACAACAAUUUAUGUCUAAACAAUUUUAUAUAUAAUAAAAAUAUUUUUCAUUCAUUCAUUUUUAUAAGUGAUACGAUAAUUAUUUUUAUGAAAAUAUUUUUCUAAUCAUUUUAUUUCUGCGAAACAAAUGCACCCGUAUGAUUCCUCCGUGGUGCUAGAGAUACACCUUCACGAAAUUAUAUGAACUCAGGAUAGCUGGAGUUUAGAUGGUGGUGCUCUGCCUCUGCUAGGAAUUUCUAUAAUAGCAUAUUUGCAACCAAUAACAUAUUUUUAUGAAUCAAUUUUGGAUCAGAUAGAAAUGCUUUUGAGUGACCGAUGAGUUAAUGAAUUUGGGAUUUAGUUGUUGUAUUAGUUUAUCCUGUCAUUUGGUCUUAUUUUAAGGAACCGUUGCUUGCAAUUAUGCUGAGAUACAAAUGUUUCCCUUUGGGGAUUAUGCUUGUGAGUCCCCGUACAUUAUCGAGAUAUUUAUGAUCUGCUAUUGGAAACAAUGUCUGCUCGGCUACAUUGACGCGUCGAUAUAUUAUGCUUGUUGUGUGGUGAUUAGAUCAUGGGCGAUUGUACUCAUAUUUUAUGUCUAUUUGUUGAUAAUAUCCAAAAAUUAUUGAGUUACUUGCAGUGUUGAAGUACCUUGGACUUUUGGCAAAUGCCUAUGUGUCUAAUCAUUACUAGAGUUAAGGAUCACUUACUACGCAAGCAAGCUCAUUCCUUUAUAAUAUAAUGUUUUUCAGAUUUAAUUGAAACUGGUGAGAAUGAAUAGUGAAUUGAGAUUGACUAAUAUCUUGAGAAUGCCGGAAUAAUUAGAAGCUUUCUUUGCAAUUAUGUGUAUUUAAACAGAAGACUCGUUAGUCUAUUUGUGUUAGAUGUGUCAAACCUUUGGAUACGUAUGCGCUGGUUUCCUUUUUUUGUUGUUGUUGAGAUUAGCAAUUAUCUUGGAGAUUUUGGACAAAUUAUACAUUUAAUUUCAAUCCAGUAGCUUAUUUAAAAUUUAGUUAUUUAUGAAAAUAAUAUACAUUUGGGUGUGGCACAAAACAAUAAUGUGUUCAUAAGGCAUUUUUUAGUUAUCUUCCGAUUCCGGCAUAGUGCUUUCUUGAAUUGUUUUCUUUAUUUUGAGAAGCUUGAAAUAGUCAUAAAAUUAACGAUUACGUGUUAUUUGGAAAUGUCAUGUACAAGAAAAUACUUGGUGAUAAUCCUUCGAAAAAGUAAUUUCUUAUUUGCUGAAUUUUUUUUGUUGUUGUUGCAAAGUCAAGUGUUGAUGUCUAAGCAAAUUGCAGGUGAAGUUCGUUUCCAAGGUACUUUUAUAUCGUUGCCAAACCAAUAAAGUUAUGUCUAGUAGAAGGAUUAAAGACUAAACUCAAAGAAUUAGUUGUGAUAUUGCAUUAGCAGUGAAGCUCGGUAAUUCGAGUGUGAAAAAUGGACAGGAAAGACUACGCUCAAAGGAAUCAAGAAAUAAAAUGUGUUCCGAGUUACAAUUUAUAAAUCAUCAAAGGAUAGGAAAAAAGAGGUUGUGACUGUGUUUCUGGGAACAAUUUAUAAAUCAUCACAGGGUAGAAAAAAAGGUUGUGAUUUCAUGGAUAUUAACACGAUCAUUUAGUCUUCGUAAACACGAUGCAGAAUAAAUAUGAAAUUAAUAAAAUUUCCAAACUAGAAAAUGAAUUUGGCCGAAGUCAGAUAACAAUACUGUAAAAUAAAUAUGAAAUUAAGGAUAAUAUUGCUUGACGGAGACGGUGAGGGAGUUAUUCAAAUAACUCCCUCACUAUCUGUUAACAAUACUGUACAACAAGAAUUGAAAUUAAUCCCUCACCAUUUCAUCAAGAUGAUGAACUUUAACUUAUUUAUCUUACUCAGGCAACAGUAGGUUAAGCAAAAGACGCAUUUCCACCUGAAAGUUCUAGUCCAAGACCAGCUUGGUAAUGCAUUGUUUUUCAGAAGUUUGCACCGGCUCCACUACGCCGAGAUGCGCCAUUAGGAGCCAAACAUGGGUGAUGAGCUCUCCUCCUCUGCUCAGGUUCUCGGAGUGUUGGUAGCCUCUGCUUAGGCAAGCCGCGUAUAUCAGAAACUUCGCCCAGACCUUGCCGAUCAACUUCCAUUUCCUACCGAGGUCUUCCGACUCGAUUUUAUUCAACUGGGAUGCGAGAUGGCAAGCGUCGAACAGCACCGACCUGCUUUUGCCACCGCGUAUUUUUGUGGCAGGCAGUUGAGUUCCCACAUGCAGCAGAAGAUGGCAGACUUCGCAUAGAUCGCGAGACUCUGUUGACUUGUGCGCCUCGCUGCAGCUUUCAACGCCGGUGUGGUCAUUUUUCUCUUUCUUGAAUAAAUUCUGCGCCAACGUCUUGACAGCCGAUGAGUUGAUGCCGGUUUCUUUCUUUGACAACAUCUCUAGCUUGUCCUCGAAGAACUUCUGAGCGUCGACUGAAGUAUCUUCAUAUCGGAGCACGUCUAUCCCUGUUGGCAACAUGGAAGGAUGGAGUACCAAAAGAUAGAGCAUGUACCGAGAGUCCAACUUACUCAUCUUGAAGUCUUUGAUGUGUUCCGAGAUUUCUCCCCUACUCUUCUCGAGGUCCUUGUAGUGGAAGAGCUCGGUGGCGAUUUGCCAGAUCAGGAUGCUCUGGUCGAACUCCAUAUCGUUCACACUCCAGUUCAGGUGACCGUUGUUUGACCUCUUCAGUACUUCACUCACUAGCUUAAGACUCUUCAACCCGCUGUUCAAAUUGCGGUCCUGCUCUAGAUAAUCGACCGCAUCCCUCGUGUGAUUGAAGGUCCAUUCUUUGAUGUUUCUCUUGAACCCUUUGUAACUGAUGUAGUUCUUCUCCAACUUCUCAUCUAACUUGGCCAACCUCGGAUACAACUUGCUGAAUGUCCUGUUUCUUCUCUUGAUGGAUAAUUUCAAGAGGCUGAACUGGGCCACAGAAUUCGACCAUCUUGGGUUCGGGCAGAUCUGGAGAAAAGCCACGGCAGAUGAUAUUGUGGAUCCGCCAGGUCUCUGAAGUCGCCAAAGGUCGACCCAAUCGGAUGAAAUUGCGAGAAGAACCGAGUAAAUCUCUAAAAGUAUAGCCGCACUUAUCAGCAAGAAGGUGAUAUAGACGUCGACUUUGGGGUAAUCCUUCCUGUCCUGUAAGGAGAAGAAUACCAACAUGGCACACAGCACCGAGAGAUUAAUGACCCAACGAAUGAUGCCCCAAGCAGGUUCAGCAACAGUGCCUUGGUGUAGAGAAGAUCGUACAUGAACCCGAGCUCGACUUCCACGAUCCGAAAAGCCGUCUCUGGAUUCAUGUUCUGACGGUUCAUGAACAUGCGCUUGCUGGCCACCAGGUCGCUGGAGUUGAGGACUAGGCCCACGAAGAGAAGCUUAAAGAUCUAGAACAACUCAUAGGCUUUGGCCAGAGUCGUGGCUUUCUCUUGGUCGAUGCCUUGACCGCUGUUCGCUGAGAGGUCCUCCGGAGCCGAAAACUCCAAGACCUCGUCAAUGCCGACUUGGUAACCCUCCUCUUUCCUCAGAGUGUACUGCUCCAAGAUCCUGGGGUAUAUGGGACCAAAAUCGGGAUAUAAAAGCAUUGAAUCUCGAAGUUGACCUUUACUUCCCAAGUACAAACACAAUGUCCUCUCCACAUAUUUGAUGAACCCCAGCAGGAUCAUGCCAACCGCUAAUAUCGACAGCGUAGACCCUGACAAGGCCAUGAAGUAGAUGUAAAAAGCUAAUGCUAUUUGGACGCAAAGCCGUGCCAUCUGCCUCAACCAUAGCUCAUUGUCUGUCAGGGCAUACACGGUGAUCGUGUCAGGCCCACCCAAGUGGAGGAGAAGGAAUGGCGCCCAGAAAGCAGUGAUCUGGCUUUUCGGAUCGAUCGUCCCCUUCGUUUCCUUGACGGUGGCCAGGCGGUUCGAGAGGACGCCGAGUGUGAGGGUUGGGAUGAAAUCGGCCAAUAGGUAUGUUGUCCAGACCACGACUUGGAUCCAGUACUUGUAGAUGGAUUUCCUCCGAAACCCGAGUCACAAGGGUCAAUUGGAGGAACAAGCUGAGGAGGACAAGCAAUCGCAGCUCCCACUCCUUCCACAGUUCUCGAGUGUUUUCGGGAAGUAGCGGAAAUCCCAUGGUUGAACUCGAUGUCGGCACCAAAAGGCGCAACAAUCAGGCACCCUUGGUCGAUCUUAGGAUAAUAAAGGGAGAGGACAAAGCAAGGCAAAACAGCAUUAGCCUUGAAUUUUUACCUCUGCAACAUCCUCAAAACGGCCACUCUUUAUAACCAAUAACUUGAUGUUGGAAUCAAAUACACAAGCAUUUAUUUACCGUGCAUAACAUCAUAGGAAUGAAAAAGUAGUGCGCAUUUUGAAACAUCCCCAACAAUUGCCACAUCACUUUUGGAUGCACAGUUGUCAAUCAAUUCUUUGUAUUUGCCCAAGAAUGAAGUAAAGUGGCAAAAUCCGAUACCGGCAUUUGUACCAAUAACUUAAACUUCAAUUUCCCAAUCACUUUUCAAGUUUCCGAAUCUUGCAAACUCCAUUCUAAUCAUUGUGGUCCUGACAACCCUAGCCCAAUAUGAUCCAUGUGAAAUAACAAGUAAAGGCAAUUUGGGUUGCUAUAACAAGUAAAGGCACGCAACAAGGUAAAAAGAGGGUGAUAAAUGCUUGCUCCAAGUAGAAGUGAUUCCGAUGCACUGAGCUGAUUGCUUCGACUUCCAAACAGUAUAUUAUUGUCCUUGGGAUGAAAUCUAUGUAUUAAAUCCUAAAAAAAAAAAAAGUUGUUGCUACGAUGAAACAAUGCAUGAGAGCCCGUAUCACAUCACAUCACAUCACAUCACCGGCAGCUUAUGUGCUUUAUGGGCUUUAUGGCCAUCAUGAUCGCGACUUGUCAUCCGGGUCUGACCUAUUGGUUUAUGAUGUGCAACACUAGCUGAACAUUUUUCUCCAAGUCAAGUGGUGUAUGAGCUGGACAUUUUGGUUCUCCACAAACUGUCACGCGAGGGACACGCAACCAAUGCACCACCUUUAGCUUUACUUAAUUAAACCCUUAAUAUUGCACACCAAGGCUAGAAACAUUCGACUAAAAACUUAUGAAAGCCUCAAAGUCCAGAAAUUCAUAAACUCAUGGUAAGGUCAUCAAUGCCACAAUUUUCAUAGAGCGUCAUUUUAGUGUUAAAACUUAUUGAACAAUCAUUUUAAGUGCCACAACUUUUGAAAAAUGAUCAUCUAAGUAAAUACGGUAACUAAGUUUGCUGAAAAUCUGGCAUGGCUUAUUGAAAACACUUAAAUGGCUGCUUUAAGAAGUUUUGGCACUAAAGGGAUUAUUCAAAAAAAUUUGAUCAUUCACAAACUUGUUUCUUCUAAAAUUUUAAAAAUCAGAGCGAGCCAAAAGCAAAAAUCACAAAGAAAAUAUUCUAAACUUGACACGUUUUUCUUUGUUUUGUUAGAGUCAAAAGAAAAAUUAUUGAGCAAACAUUUUCUUAAAAUAGUUUAAUCUAAAGUCACAUAGAUCAAUUUGUUUUCCUAACAAAAAAGAUAGUAAAUAAAAUUUUCUUCACCUUAGUUAAGUUAUCGUAAAUAAAAUUUUCUUCACCUUAGUUAAGUUCAUAUUUGUUUCUUUUCUGACCUUGCUCUAUUCUUAGAUUAAACAGCAAAGCUUCAAGCAUUGCGGUAGUGGAUCACUGUGCAUUUGGUUUAGCUUUGUGAAAUACCUUUGCAUAGAUGCAAAGAACCUUAGUUCAAGGGAUUUCACAAAAUGCAAAACACUAUUUGCCAAAAACUUGUCAAGGACUUUAGUUUUAAAAAAGAAAAACAGAGAAUGAAAGUGGAAGCACAAAUUGACGAAGAUGGCACCUUAGGCGAAGGUUGAAAGAGAGACAACAACCCGUCACCGAGGUCACACGACCAUAGACGACUUCUGUCGAGGUUGCACCACCCUAGGUGAUCCUCAACCUCUACAACCGGUGCAACUAGCAAGCAUAGAGAGAGUGUAUGAGAAAGACAAUAAACAAUGUUUUUAGAGGGCAAAAGUGAAAUACACAAUUAUAAGUGAGGGCAAAUUUGGAAGGAAAAAAGUCAUUAGACCCCACAAUAACAUAAUGAAAAUACUGAAAGUGGGCCCCACCUGCUUGAGCUUUCAACUUUGCCAAUACUAGCUUUUACCCAAUGCCCUCCAAAAAUUUUAUUAAAUGCCCUAAUUUUUCUAAGGGAUUUUAGGGGUCCAAAACCCCAUGAGCUAAACCAAACGCACUUCUCUUUAAUCGAAUGUGAGGAUCCAUACUAAGGAAUGUUUGGAAACCAAUCUAACAAAAUAUCUUAAUUUGUGAAAAAAUGAUGCAUUUAUCAACGUUGAAUGGUAUAUAAAUUACGCAUCAUACAAUUUUAAAAUUUCUCGUGUGAAAAAUUUAAGAAAGAUUACUUUAGUGCCAAGAUUUUAUAAAUGAUCACUUUAGUGUCAAAUCUUUCCAAAAUUGUCCAUUUAAGUGACCUUUGUAAGCCACAUCGGUUUUUUCAUCAAUCACUUAAAUAUUGCCCUAUAAAAAUUGUGGCACAUAAAUGAUUGUUUAAAAAAAAAUUGACACCAAAAUAAGCACCUUACAAUAAUUAUGGCACUGACGUCAUCCUUAUCUCUACCUUCCAAAACUUCAAAAUUUAGGUAAACUUUAUUCAGAAAAUAGCAAGUGCAUACUUGAACCUUCCCCUUUAUCUUUCCGUUAUUCGAGCAAAAACUCCUGUCAAAAUAAAAGUAUGCAUUAUUCCAUUUCCAAAAAGUGGGAUAAGUACACUAAUGGUGCCAUAAGUUGUGUACGGCGCUCACUUUGGUGCCAAAAGUUUCUGUCGGAUCACUUAAGUGCCAAAUCGGAGGAAAAACGCUCACUUUGGUGCCACCGGCGAAAGAUUCCGGCCUCCGGCGAAAGAUUCCGGCCAAAAUGAUUUUUUUUUUAAAAAAAAAAUUGAUAAGCCUUUAAAUGACGUCGUUUUCAGUCCUCCUUAAGAAAACGACGUCGUUUUGUCGUCCUACGUGGAUGGCUUCAUGGAAACGACGCCGUUUAGCUCACAUGGGGAAGAAAUUAGGGUUUCGGCGAGGUCGAAGCCGUGGCCGUCGUCGGGGUUGGGGUCGGAGUCGGGGUCGAAGCUGCGGCUGCCGAGUGGCCAUCAUCGAGGUCGGGGUCGGGGUCGGGGUCGAAGCUACGGCCGUCGAGUGGCCAUCGUCGCGGUCGGGGUCGAGGUCAAGGUCGGAGCUACGACCGCCGAGUGGCCAUCGUCGGGGUCGGGGUCGGGGUCGAGGUCAGAGCCGCUGCCGUUGAGUGGCCAUCGUCGGGGUUGGGGUCGAGGUCGGGGUCGAAGCCGUGGCCGCCGAGCGCAAGGACCGUCGAGGACAGCGACGGCCGGAGAUUAGGGUUUUGAAUUGGGGGAGACACCAAACGGCGUCGUUUUGGUGUUUGGAUGCUGACUCAGCUCUCCGACGAGCCACAUUGGCGUCAAAAAUUAAUAAAAAAAGGCCACGUAGGAUUUCCGGCCAAUUUCGUCGGAGUUGGCACCAAAGUGAGCGUUUUUUAAAUUUUUUGGCACUUAAGUGAUCCGACGGAAACUGUUGGCACCAAAGUGAGCGUCGUACACAACUUAUGGCACCAUUAGUGUACUUAUCCCUAAUGAAAAAUGGCAAGAUUGCAAUUGCAAAUGACCUUAAUGUCCCUACGUAUAGGUUUCUAGAUCAGUCAAAUUUUAAAUGUCAAAAAAUAAAAAGUCAGAAAUGGAAGCGUCGCCUGCUUUUUCCAUACAUGCUAAAAAGGUCGAUUAAAUAUUUUGAAGCCUCUUGAUAAAAUGUUCAUUUUCUUGGCCUGAUGCUAAUAAAAAGUUACAUAUGAAUGAUAUAUCUUCUAUACAUUGACGGAAGCUUCAUUCCAAACUUGUCCUCAAGUAAGAUAAUGAUCUAAAGCGAAAGAAAAGAACAUUUGAAUAUACACUCGGUUUCAUAUCCCUUUCUCAACUAAAUUUUCAUUGCCCACGCGAACUCAUUAAAAUCAAAGUCCCUCAUCGGUUGAAUGUGCAUAAAUGAGGUUACAUAUAUGCCUAAUUAUGCGGAAUGUGAGGUAGUCCAGACCCCUAUUUUAGCGUGCCUUGGACUUCCAUAUGCAUUUCACCUUUGUCUGUCACCAAUCCUUUAGAAUUUAUUUCUAGUAUAUUCUUAUAUAUAUAUAUAUAUAUAUAUAUAUAUAUAUUUAAAAAGGGCCUCUCUACAGGACCCGAAUGUCACACCGUUUAGGAAUACACUGGUAAAGUGAGAUUUCAUACACGUCUGGAUCCAGGGAAGAAAAAGAAAAAAAAAAAAGACAUUACCCAAAACCAAAAGCUGUAACCCUUCACCUUCCGACACCCCACUGCGGUUCUUCCAUCAUCUGCUGGUUCAUCUCUUUGCCUUUGUCUUCCACGAGUCGCUGCAAGCAUCAAUCUUUCAUAUUGCAAAAUAUCCACUUAUUUAGUUGUUUUCAUUUAUUGCAUGAGUCUUGUUAACUGAAAGCAAGCAAGGCAAUGGUCUGUCCCAAAUCCCAACCUUUUGCCAUUGACUUAAUUGAUGGUUGAUAUUCAUCACCACUUAUGUUGUCUACACCGUCAAAAAUGGAAUUUGGACAAAGGAGUUAUGAGGUCCAAAGUUAGCUUGUCGAAUCUAUAAAAUCCGAAAAUUGAGUUGUGCGAUCGCGCAUGUGCUAACUUCAAAUGGCUUGUACAACUUAUCCUAAUGUCCAAUUGAAUUUUUGUUUUCAUGGCUUGCAUGGGCAUGAAAGUUUCUAUGUUCUUGGUAUUUUCAAGAAAUUUUCAUAAUUUUUGCUAUUUUUCAGAAAUGUCAAACAAUGAUGGAAAAAUAAGAGUAUUUGAAAUCUGGCUCUGCUAUGUGACAGAAAAUUUUAUAUUUUUCAUUAAAGUUGAUGAAAAAAUAUUAUACAUUGAUUUUUGUACGUUGUGACAUUUCGGGGGAGUGACCGUAUAAAUGCGGAAGUUUGAAAAAAUAUGAACUUUUUCGUCUAUAUACCAUCUACUAGAAAUUUACUCUCUCUCUCUCUCUCUUUUUCUUGGAUGAACACUAUCCAUUGUUUUUAUUUAUGAAUCUCAAGAGUCAUUUACGGCAUUUGAAUCUUUCUUCGAGUUUUUGGACUGAAGUAAUACAUUUAAGGACAAUUUUCUAAUUUUAUUGUAAUUGGGCUCUUUUUAGGUAAUUUACGGCUUGUGAAAUUUAGAUAAUUAAUGUCCCCAUCGGCCUAGAAAAUAUUAUGGGUAUUUUGGUAAUUUUCUGCUUAGGAAUAUUAAAGAUGACACUCAACUCCAUUUAUUUCAUAGAAUAUGAAUAAUUUGGAAAAUAUUUUUAAAAAAAAAUUGUUUCUAUUGCUUGAUAUAAUUAAUCAAUAAAUAAUAUUUUCAUUAUUCGAAAAAAAUUUAUGUCUAAACAUAUUCAUGUACGAUAAAAAUAUUUUACAUUCAUUCAUUUUUGUAAGUCAUACAAUAAUUAUUUUUAUAAAAAUAGUUUCUCAAUCAUUUUAUAUCUGCGUAACAAACGCACCAUUAUGAUUCCUUGGUGGUGCCAGAGAUACUGCUUUAUGAAAUUAUAUGAAUUCAUGAUAGCUGGAGUUCAGAUAAGUGGUACUCUGCCUCUGCUAGGAAUUUCUGCAAUAGCGUAUUUGUAACCAAAAACAUAUUUCCUGCAGAAACAUUGGAUCAAACAGAGAUGCUUUUGAGUGACUGAUGAGUUAAUAAAUAUGGAUUUAGUUGUUGGUUCAUCCUAUCAUUUGAUCUUAUAUUGAAGAACAGUUGCUCGCAAUUUCGUUUUAACACCACUGUUUCCCAAAGGUUAUGUAUGCGAGUCUGUGUCCAUUACCAAGGUGAUUAUGCUGCUGCUGGAAAUUAUGUAUACUCAGGUGCAUUGACAUGUCAGUGUGUUAUGCUUGUCGUUUGGUGAUUAGAUUGUGGACGAUUGUACCCAUAUUUCAUGUUUAUUUGUUGAUAAUACCCAAAAAUUAUUUUGAGUUACCUGCGAUGUUAAAGUACUAUUGAACUUUUGGUGAAUGCCACCUAUAUGUCUAAUCACUACUAGAUGUAGAGGAUCACUUGCUUCGCAAGGGAGCUCAUUCCUUUAUAACAUAGUGUUUCUCGGAUUUAGUAGAGAUUGCUUAGAAUAAACAGCGAGUUUUUCAUUAUUUUCGGAUCUUAAAAUAUUUUUUUGUUUUUAAGUUUUUGAGAGAUAGUCAUAACUAGAAGUUAUAAGUAGGCAAAAACCAGCCCCAAACUAUAUUUUCUUUAAGUAAAAUGUUAUUAACCAAGCAGACAAUCUAGCUACUAAUUUAUGGUAGUUUUAAAGUUACUCCUUUAAAAAAAAAAAAUUUGAAACUUACACGAAUCACUCUAAAAUAAAUUACCGGUCUCAGUCUCACAUAUAUAGAUAAAUACAUGCUUGCUUUCUUAAAGUUAAAAGUGUAGAAACCGGGAUGAGAUUUAAUUAUGUUAAGGUGGCUAGCUUCGGUUCAGGGAAAUGCCUCUGGUGAAGAAGGGUAACUGAUGCACAGUUUUCAUUAUUUCCUGAGUCCUCAAGUACAAGUAUUGAAAUAACUCAACCUCACUAUCUCAAGAUGAUGGUGAGCUUAACGUAUUUAUCUUACUCAAGUAACGGUAGGUUAAGCAAAAGACGCAUGCCACUGGAAAUUUCUAGUUCAAGAUCAGUUUGGUAAUGCAUUGUGUUUCGGAAGUUUGCACCGGCUCCGCCAUGCCGAGAUGCACCAUUAGAAGCCAGACAUGGCUGAGAAACUCUCCUCCUCUGCUCAGGCUCUCGGAGUGUUCAUCGCCUUUGCUUCGGCAAGCUGCGUAUAUCAGAAACUGUGCCCAGACCUUGCCGAUCAAGUUCCAUUUCCUACCGAAGUCUUUCGACUCGAUUUCAUUCAACUGGGACGCGAGAUGGCAAGCGUCGAACAGCACCGACCUGCUUUUGCCACCACGUAUUUUUGUGGCGGGCAGCUGAGUUCCUACUUGGAGCAGAAGAUGGCAGACUUCGCAUAGAUCGCACGACACUGUUGACUUGUGCGCCUUGUUGCAGCUUUUAACAUUGGUGUGGUGAUAUUUAUCUUUCUUGAAUAGAUUCUGCGCCCAAGUCUCGACAACCGAUGAGUUGAUGCUGGUUUCUUUCUUUGACAACACUGCUAGCUUGUCGUCGAAGAACUUCUGAGCAUCAAUCGAAGUGUCUUCAUAUCGGAGCAUGCCUAUCCCUGUUGGCAACAUGGAAGGAUGGAGUACUAAAAGAUAGAGCAUGUACCGAGAGACCAACUUACUCAUCUUGUAGUCCUUGAUGUGUUCCGCGCUUUUUCCCUGCCUGUUGUCGUGGUCCUUGUAGUGGCAGAGCUCAGUGGCGAUGUGCCAGACGAGGAUGCUCUGGUCGAACUCCUUAUCGUUCACACUCCAGAUCAGGUGACCGUUGUUCGACUUUAUCAGUACUUCACUGGCCUCCAGCUCAAGACUCGUUUUCCGUCCCAGAUUUUCGACCAUUGUUCUCAUGUGAUCGAAGGUCCAUUCUUUGAUGUUGCUGUUCAACACUUUGUAAUCGAUGUAGAAGUUCUUCUCUAACUUCUCAUCUAAUUUGGCGAGCCCGGGAAACUUGCUGAAGAUCCUUUUUCUUUUCCUGAUGGAUAAUAUCAAGAGGCUGAACUGGGCCACAGAAUUCGACCAUCUUGGGUUCGGGCAGAUCUGGAGAAAAGCCACGGCAGAUGAUAUUGUGAACCCGCCAGGUUUCUGAAGACGCCAGUGGUCGACCCAGUCGGAUGAAAUUGCUAGAAGAAUCGAGUAAAUGUCUAAAAGUAUGGCCGCACUUAUCAGCAAGAAGGUGAUAUAGAUGUCGACUUUGGGGUAAUCCUUCCUAUCCUGUAAGGAGAAGAAUACCAACACGCCACACAGCACCGAGAGACUAAUGACCCAACGAAUGAUGCCCCAAGCACGGUUCAGCAACAGUGCCUUGGUGUAGAGAAGAUCGUACAUGAACCCGAGCUCGACUUCCACGAUCCCAAAGGCCGUCACUGAGUUCAUGUUCUGACGGUUCAUGAACAUGCGCUUGCUGGCCUCCAAGUCACCGGAGUUGAGGAUAAGGCCCACGAAGAGAAGCUUGAAGAUCUUGAACAACUCGUAGGCUUUGACCAGAGUCGCGGCUUUCUCUUGGUCGAUGGCUUGACCGCUGUUCGCUGAGAGGUCCUCUGGAGCCGGAACCUCAGUGACCUCGUCGAUGCCGACUUGGUAACCCUCCUCUUUCUUUAGAGCGUACUGCUCCAUGAUCCUGGGGUAUAUGGGACCAAAAUCGGGAUGCGAAAGCAUCGAAUCUCGAAGUUGACCUUCGCUUGCCCAGUACAAACACAAUGUCCUCUCUACAUAUUUGAUGAACCCCACCAGGAUCGUGCCAGCCGCUAAUAUCGACAGUGUAGACCCUGACAAGGCCAUGAAAUAGAUGUAACAAGCUAGUCCUACCUGGACGCAAAGCCGUGCCAAUUGCCUCAACCAUAGCUCAUUGUCCUCCAAGGCAUAUGCGGUAAUCGUGUCAGGCCCACCUAAGUGGAGGAGAAGGAAUGGAGCCCAAAAAGCAGUGAUCUGGCUCUUUGGAUCGAUCGCCCCCUUCGUUUCCUUGAUGGUGGCCAGGCGGUUCGAGACGACGCCGAGCGUGAGGGUUGCGAUGGAGUCGGCUGAUAGGUAUGUCGUCCAGACCACGACGCGGAUCCAGUACUUGUAGAUGGAUUUCCUUCGAAAGCCCUGAGUCACAAGGGUCAAUUGAAGGAACAAGCUGAGGAGGACCAGCAACCGCAGCUCCCACUCCUUCCACAGUUCUCUAGUGUUUUCGGGGAGCAGCGAAAAUCCCAUGGUUAAACUCGAUGUCGGCACCAAAAGGCGCAACGGUCGGGCACCCUUGUCGAUCGUAGGAUUCUAAAGGGAGAGGACAAAGCAAGGCAAACAACAUGAGCCUUGAAUUUACCUCUGGAACAUCCUCAAAACGGUCACUCUUUAUAACCAAUAACUAGAUAUUGGAAUCAAAUACAAAAGCACUUACUUACCCUGCGUAACGUUACAAGAAUGAAAAAAGCGAUAUACAUUUUGAUAGAUUUAUGAGAUGGGCUUAAGGCCCGUCCGCCCAAGCUGGGCCCAAAAGGCCCGGCCCAUGGGAAUAUGGCCCGUGGAAAGGGAGAGGUAUAAAAGGGAGGAGAGAGAGAGAAAUGAUAUUAGUUGGAAAUAGAAAACAACGUACGUCUUUUUCUUUUUACGCUAUCUCUCUCUCAAAAGGAAAAACAGUAAGCAUACGGCGCGCUUUUCUUCCCUUCAAGGCUUCAUCGAAUCGAACAGGACCGUUUCUCUUCCUCUUGUCGGCGUCGGUGUUUAAUCUGUGGCUAAUAAGGUACGCUCGAAUCCGUGGUGUGCUUUACGAUCGGUGAUACGUGUUUUCCCGGGCUUCGUCUUCCGCAUUGAUUUAGGGGUUCGAUUCGGUGUCGAAUCCGGUUUUCGGGGAUCCGUUAUUCCCAACAUUGGUAUCAGAGCCCUAGUUCACGUUUUCCCGAUCAAUUUGAUGUUUUUUGAUUGAUUUUUCGCAAAAAAAAUUUCGGCCGUACGGAUCGGGCGAGAAAUCCCGACACCCGAGCGUUGUUCGGCCAUUUUUCUGAGUUUUUGUAAGUCGAAAUCGUUUCCUGAACACAUGGGGAGAAAGGCGACGUCGAGACGAGUCCGGCGACAUGUCGCACGCCGCCGGGAGACGCUGCACGCGCCCACACGCGCUGCCAGAAGCCGAUGCGCGUGGGCGCGACGCGCCAGAAGCGCUGGCAAUGGCCAGCGCGUGCGCCACACGCGCCGGUGACGAACCGGCACGUGCGCGCUGGCAACCGGCGAAACGGCACGCGCCGGUCCACGGACCGACGCGUGCUGACGUCACGCGAUGACGUCAUGGUGACGUCAUCCAACGAUCGGUAACCGCUCGGAUGACAUCACCGAUGACGUCAUCACCGACGACGUUUCGCCGGGCGGUCACCGGCCGGCGACCCGACCCGACGACGACCCGACCCGAACCGCGACGCCCGGCACACGCGCGUCACGUGCCGGCUGACGUUUGCGUGACGUCAUCCCGCGCACGCGCGCGGCACGUGCGGUCGGUUCGCCCGGACCGGCCGACCGGCCCGUCCGGUCCGACCGGUCCGACCGUCGUGACCGGUCCGAUCGGUUCGACCCGCGCGCCCGUUGACCCGACCCGUUGACCGUUGACCGUCCGUUGACUUUGACAGUUGACCCGAAAAAAAAAAAAGAAAAAAAAAGGGAAUUUGUUUCUUUUUCAGUCAUGCCUAUGUGGGUUAUAAGUAAUCCAUUUUUAAUGCUGCAUUUGUUGCAUGAAUUUUGGAAAAUUAUGUAUUUUCCCUUAUAUUUAUUAUGGAUUAUAAGUGAUCCAUUUUUAGUUCUGCAUUUGUUGCAGGAACUAUGAUGCGUUAUGCAAAGAUACCUGCAAUCCCGAGAACGGACGAGGGAAAUGAAAGACUUAAAAGGCUGAUGUCAGAAUUAGUUAAUUAUCGGUGGCAUGAUGGUGAUUUAGUAUCACAUGUGGUCAGGGUCAAUCAGAUGAUACAGGAAAUCAUCUGGAAUAGUUAUCUUAUGCCGGAUUUUGAGAAGGUGCCGGCUUUGAUGAACACUCUUCCACCUGAAUGGCAAGCAGUGUUGGAUCGGCUAUGGGAGGUCAACGUGGUCCCGGGUUAUAGGAGGCUGGUGGAAGCUUUUGUAAGAGAGCACUAUAGGAUUGAGUUGGCCAAAACUUCAACCCUUAGAUUGAGCGCCACAUGGCGUAGAGUAAAUGCGCAUUGGUGGCGACAUGAAUGCUCUCCAAAAGUUUUUUUUUAUGGUUGGCAAAUGUGCUUUCAGUUUUCUCAGAUGUUUUGACUGAUAGGUUAGAAGGGACAUUCCCUAUUUAUUUCUAUGAUUAAUUAUGUAAUGUUUACUACUUGAUUGUUGUUGAUGUAGCAACCGAUAUGUUAGUUGUAUCAUGUGAAAGCAUUGUUAUUUUAUUGGAUGUUAAGAUUUUAUUUGCUUUCUGCUAUUGCUGGUUGCUGUGGGUAAUUAGCUGUGGGUAGUAAUAGAAGUUUUUGUAGCUUCAUAGAAUUGAUUUUGCAUAUGACAAUCAUAUUAAUGAUAGUUUUAAGUUAGGAUUUUUGGAGGAUGAUUGGAAACGUAGUGACCUUUUGAUUCUGAAACCUUACUUGAAAUUAUUCAUUGAUAUGAUGAGUCUGUGCAAAGUGGAUGCAUAAAUGAUAGGCAUUAAUUAUUCGUGCACAUAUGUCUGAUGUGUUCAGAUUGAUGGAUUCAGCAACUAAGAACGUAAUUGCUGAUGUGAACGGCAACAAUUGUGAAAUAUUGAAUAUGAAGAUUCAAUAUGUGCUGGAAAAACUAGAAGCACUAGAAGCUCUUGACCAUGUUAUGGAAAAUCUUGAGGAUGUUGUGCGCCACCUUGAGCUGGUAGAGGACCGCUUGACGGCAUUUGAGCCGAAAAUAGAUAUUUUCAAUGCUAGUUCUAGCUCAGAAAGGGCUUUGUGCUCUAAGCGCAAGUGUAUUGAUUCGGUCAAUAUGUGGGAAUGCAAAGGAUCAAGUCCUUAUUGCAAGAGAUAAAGAGUUAACCCACACAAGAGAGGAAAACGUCCUCAAGUGAAGAAAAUGUCAAGGGUGAGGUGUUACAAUUGUGACAAUAAAGGUCACUAUGCUCGCAACUGUUGUGAGCCAAAGAAGGUAAACACCUCUUGUACAUUUGAGAACUUUGCUUAUGUGUCAAGUUCUACAUUAUUAGCUGAAUCCAAUCCUUUGUGGACUGUAAAUUCAGGAGCGACAGACCAUGUAGCAAAGGAUAGAUGAUCCUUCGUGGAAUUCUGACGAUACCAACUGGAACUAAGUGGAUCUAUGUGGAAAACAGCUCCAGAGCUGAAGUUAAAUGGGAUUGGCACCUACCAAUUGAACAUGCGUGGUGGACGCAACUUGUUCCUACAUGAUGUUCUAUAUGCUCCGGAGAUUCGUCGAAAUUUAAGUGUCUGUUUUGAUGUUGGUUAAGCUUGGUUUUAGUGUGAACUUCCGUAAUAACGGUGUAGAUUUGUAUUUGGAUACAAACUACUAUGGUUGUGGUCACUUUCUGGAUGGUUUUAUUGUACUGAAUGUUGACUGUGGUGAUGUCAAUAUGUUAUUCCCUUGUUUCACGUCUUUUACUUCAUGUGAUAAUGAUGUGAAUGUGUGGCAUGCUAGACUUGGUCAUAUUGGCCAACAACAUAUGAAUAGACUAGCUAAAGAAGGCUUGUUGGGCAAUAUUGAAUAAGUCGAUUUGUCCAUAUGUAAGCAUUGCCUAGAAGGGAAAACGACAAGGAAACCAUUUGGAAAAGGUAAAAGAGCUGACGUUCCUCUGCAUUUAAUCCAUUAUGACGUUUGUGGUUCAAUGAAUGUGAGAGGAAGGCAUGGGACUGUUUACUUCAUCACUUUUAUUAGAUGAUUAUACUCGAUUCGAAUGUGUCUAUUUGAUUUCUCAUAAAUCUGAAGCAUAAGUUGUUUCAAAAGGUUUAUGAACUUGGAAGAAAAUCAAUUAGACAAGAAAAUAAAAGUAUUGAGAUCCGAUCGAGGUCGAGAAUAUUUAUCUGAUGAGUUCAGAAAAUAAUAUGAUGAAAAGGAAUAGAAAUAUAGUUGUCUAUUCCAUAUACUCCUCAACAAAAUGGUGUUGCAGAGAGAAGAAACAGAACCCUACUGGAAAUGGGUAGGUCCAAUAAUUAGAACGUGAAUAAUAUUUUCAUUAGUCAAAAACAAUUUGCGUCUAAAUAUAUUCAUAGAUAAUAAAAAAAAAAUCACUUAUUUAUUUUUGUAAGUGAUACAAUAAUUAUUUUUAUGAAGAUAUUUUCCGAAUCAUUUUAUUUUUUGCGUAACAAACGCACCACUAUGAUUCCUAGGAAUGAGCAUGGUCCGGGUUGGGCCGAUCCACUCCCUAACCCUAGGACCAACCCGCAUAGUGCUAGUCCUCAAUUUUUGGGAAGGAGGACCGACCCUAUUGAGCUUGGGACCGAGGACCAAAUUGACCCAAUGGGUUUGGUCCGGUUCCAGGGUCAACCCGGGACCGAUCAAUAAUUUUUUAUUUCAUUUUUUGUACCCCUUAAAAAACCGAUUGAGGACCGAACUAACCCAAUAGGUUCGGUCCGAUUUCAGGGUCAACCUAGGACCAACCAAUAAUUUUUUAUUUCAUUUUUUAUACUCCUUAAAAAAAUUAUUGAGGAUUGAACUGACCCAAUUGGUUCGGUCCGGUUUUAGGGUCAACUCAAAACCAACCAAUAAUUUUUUAUUUCAUCUUUUAUACUCCUUAAAAGGGCAAUUGAGGACCAUACCGACCCAAUGAGUUCGAUGAUGAGCGAGGUCAACUAAGAAAGACAAGCGGUAAGGGUCAAGUGGGGUAAGCAUCGAACAGAAUAAGCAUCGAAUGUCGAGCAGGAAGCAAAUAGUCAAGCGAGCAUCGAGCGGCAAGCGGCAUGAGUAACUCAAAGCGAGCAAGACGAGUGUCAAGUGGUGAGCGGAGAAGUUGUUUUUUUUUUUUUUUUUGGCAAAUUGAAGACUAAGAGGGUAAAGACAGAAGAGAACGAAUACUAGAGGAUAAUGCCAUAAGGAACUGUUUAUACCUUUUUGGACGCCGUGAGAACUCAUUAUUAAAACAUUUUCCUCAUUCGUAAAUUAUGACUAUUGACGCCGUAAAAGACAUUAAAAAUCUAAGUUAUUAAAGAACAAUGUAAAAUUAUUUGAAUUCCUCACUAAAGAGCAAUUUAAUAUUGUUAACGUCAUUUAUUUUAAGAUUUUCUCUAUAUAAAAAAAUUAUAAGUAAUAUAUAUAGUUAGGAUUGAUCCGGGUUGAACCGACUUGGAACUUGCAGGACCGAUGACCAACUCACACAGUGCUAGUUCAGGAAUUCUAGGACCAAAGACCAACUCAAUCUCCCUGGGAACCGGACCAGGACCAGCAAGGUUGGGCUAGUCCAGGGUCAAUCCAGGGUCAACCCUGGACCAAUGCUCACCCGUAAUGAUUCCUUGGUGGUGCUAGAGAUAUUGCAUGAAAUUGUAUGAAUUCAUGAUAGCUAGAGUUCAGAUAAGUGGUGCUCUGUCUCUGCUAGGAAUUUCUACAAUAGCAUAUUUGUAACCAAAAAUUAUUUUGAGGUACCUGUGGACUUUUGAUGAAUGCCUCUCUGUCUAAUCACUACUAGAGGUAAAGGAUCACUUACUACACAAGCUGAGCUCAUACCUUUAUAAUAUAAUGUUUUUCAGAUUUAGUAGAAAUUGCUGAAAAUAUACAACAAGCUUUUCAUUAUUUUUCGGAUCUUAAAAUAAUUUUUUUGUUUUUAUGUUUUUUAGAAAAAGUCAUAACUAGAAGUAAUAAAUAGGCAAAAAGGGGCCCUGAACUGGAUUUUCUAAGUAAAAUGUUAUUAACUAAGUAGACAAGCUAUCUACUAAUUUAUGGGAGGUUAAAAGUUACUCUCUUUUUUUAUUAACCGGUCUCGGUCUCGCAUAUAGAUACAUACUUGCUUUCCCAAAGUUAAAAGCGUACAAACUGGGAUGAAAAAUAAUUAUGUUAAGGAGUUGCUUAGUAAAUCAACAUGAAAGAGUUACUUGACACUUUUGAAGAGAUAUGCCGAAAGUUACUAAACGACUUUGAGAAACUUAAAUUCUCUGUCCCAAUGGUAAUGCCACUGGCGCAUCUCUGUCCGAAAGUUACUGAUCCACCAUCAGUUUUCAUUAUUCCUGACUCCUCAAGAACUUAACCUCACCAUCUCAAGAUGACGAGCUUCAACUUACUUAUCUUACUCAAGUAACAGUAGGUUUAAAAAAAGACGCAUUCCACCUGAAAGUUCUAGUUCAAGAUAAGUUUGGUGAUCCAUUGUGCUUCGGAAUUUUGCAUCGGCUCCGCCACACGGAGAUGCGCCAUUAGAAGCCAGAUAUGGCUGACAAGCUCUCCUCCUCUCCUCAGGCUCUCGAAGUGUUUGUAGCCUUUGCUUUGGUAAGCCGUGUAUAUCAGAAACUUCGCCCAGACCUUGCCGAUCAAGUACCAUUUCCAACCGAAGUCUUUCGACUCAAUUUCAUUCAACUGGGAUGCGAGAUGGCACGCAUCAAACAGCACCGACCUGCUUUUGCCACUGCGUAUUUUCAUGGCGGGCAGCUGAAUUCCCACUUGGAGCAGAAGAUGGCAGGCUUCACAUAGAUCACCCGACUCUGUUGAUUUGUGCACCUUGUUGCAGCUUUUAACUCCGGUGUGACCAUAUUUCUCUUUCUUGAAUAAAUUCUGCGCCCGUGUCUUGACAACCGAUGACCUGAUGCUGGUUUCUUUCUUUGACGACACCAGUAGCUUGUCCUCGAAGAACUUAUGAGCGUUGACCGAAGUAUCUUCAUAUCGGAGCACCUCUAUCCCUGUUGGCAACAUGGAAGGAUGGGGUGCUAAAAGAUAGAGCAUGUACCGAGAGACCAACUUACUCAUCUUUGUAGUCCUUGACGUGUUCCGGUCUUAUUCCCUGACACUGGUCGAGGUCCUUGUAGUGGCAGAGCUCAGUGGCGAUGUGCCAGAUGAGAAUGCUACAGUCAAACUCUAUAUCUUUCACACUCCAGAUCAGGUGAUUGUUGUUUGACCUCAUCAGUUCUUCACUUGCCUUCAGAUCAAGACUGGUCAACCCGCUCCAAUCUUCUGUUCCGUUCUGGAUAAUCGACCAUACCGCUCAUGUGAUCGGAGGUCCAGUCUUUGAUGUUACUCUUGAACUCUUUGUAAUUGAUGUAGAAGUUAUUCUCCAACUUCUCAUCUAACUUGGCGAGCCAUGGAUACUUGCUGAAGAUCCUGCUUUUUUUCCCUGAUAGAAAAUUUCAAGAGGCUUGGGCCACGGAAUUCGCCAUCUUGGGUUCCGGAAGAUCUGGAGAAAAGCCACGGCAGUUGAUAUUGUGGAUCCGCCAGGUCUCUGAAGACGCCAGUGGUCAACUAAUCGGAUGAAAUUGCAAGAAGACCCGAGUAAAUCUCUAAAAGGAUGGCUGCACUUAUCAGCAAGAAGGUGAUAUAGACGUCGACUUUGGGGUAAUCCUUCCUAUCCUGUAAGGAGAGUAGAAUACCAACACGGCACACAGCACCGAGACAUUAAUGACCCAACGAAUGAUGCCCCAAGCAAGGUUCAGCAACAGUGCCUUGGUGUAGAGCAGAUCGUACAUGAUCCCGAGCUCAAUCUCUACGAUCCCAAAAGCGGUUGUUGAGUCCAUGGCACUAUUCAUGAACAUGCGCUUACUGCCUCCUGGUCGCCAGAGUUGAGAAUAAGGCCCACGAAGAGAAGCUUGAAGAUCUUGAACAACUCAUAGGCUUUAACCAGAGUCCUGUCCUUUUCUUUGUCGAUGGUUUGACCGCUAUUCACUGAGAGGUCCUCCGGAGCCGGAACCUCCAUGACCUCGUCGAUGCAGACUCGGUAACCCUCCUCUUUCUUCAGAGUGUACUGCUCUAUUAUCCCGUGGUAUAUGGGACAGAAAUCGGGAAGCGAAAGCAUCGAAUCUCGAAGUCGGCCUUCAGUUACCAGGUGCAAACACAGUGUCCUCUCUGCAUAUUUAAUGAACCCCACCAGGAUCACGCCAGCUGCUAAUAUCGACAGUACAGACCCUGACAAGGCAAGGCCAUGAAGUAGAUGUAACAAGCUAGUCCUACCUGGACGCAAAGCCGCACCAACUGCCUCAACCAUAGCUUAUUGUCCGCCAGGGCAUACGCGAUGAUGGUAUUAGGCCCACCCAAGUGGAGGAGAAGGAACGGCGCCCGGAAAGCAGUGAUCUGGCUCUUCGGAUUGAUCGUCCCCUUCGUAUCCUUGACGUUGGCCAGGCGAUUUGAGAGGAUGCCGAGCGUGAGGAUUGCAAUGGACUCGGCUGAUAGGUACGUCAUCCAGACCAUGACUUGGAUCCAGUACUUGUAGAUGGAUUUCCUCCGAAAGCCCUGAGUCACAAGGGUCAAUUGGAGGAACAAGCUGAGGAGGACGAACAACCGUAGCCCCCAAUCCUUCCACAGUUCUCGAGUGUUUUCAGGGAGUGGCGAAAAUCCCAUGGUUGAACUUGAUGUCGGCACCAAAAGGCGCAACGUUCAGGCAUCCCAGGUCGAUCAUAGGAUUAUAAAGGGAAAGGACAAAAGUAAGGUACAACAGCAUUAACCUUGCAUUUACCUCCCCAGCAUCCUCAAAACGGCUACUCUUUAUAACCAAUAACUUGAUAUUGGAAUCAAAUACAAAAGCACUCGGUUACACUACUUGUAGAUGGACUUUUAUAAAUGAAAAAGCAGUACGCCUUUUGAAACACAUAAAAUGCACGACUCAAGAGUUCAUUUUUUAAUGCAUAAUUGUCAAGCAAUUCUUUGCUUUGCCCGAGGAUGAAGUAAAGUGACAAAAUUAAAUUCCAGCAUUCAUAUUGUCAUGAUUGCUAUAUGCUUUAAUUGAGAAGAUUGGAAUAUAAUCCUAGAGUUAAAAGUUUGAUUCCUUAAUUACUUGUCAAGAUUUCGAAUUAUGUGAACUUAAUUAUAUUCAUUGUUAUCGUAACACUUUCUCUGCCAUGCCCCCACCAGCCCAGCAUAAUCUUUGUGGAAUAUAAAAUUCACCUAUUUGGGUUGCUAUAACAAGUAGAGACACGCAAGAAGGCCAAAAACAGGAUGAUAAAUGCUUACUCCAAGUUAAAUCAAUUCCGACGCAUUCAGUUGAUUGCUUCAAUUCCCAGACAACAUAUUAUCGUCCUUGGAUUAAUCUUCAUAUUAAAUCCUAGAAUGAAGUUGUCGCUACGAUAAAACAAUGCACAAAAGCGCAGGUGUCACACUGUAUCACCGUCAACUAAUGCGCUUUAUGACCAUCAUGAUCACAACUUAUCGUCCAUGUCUUGACAUGUGGUGUGCGACACCCGUUGAACAUUUUUUUCCAGGCCAUGUAUGAGCUGAACAUUUUCAUCCACAUCCUGUCACGCGAAGGACACACAGCCGGUGCACCACCUUUAGCUUAACUUAAUUAAACCCUUAACAUUGCGCAUCAAGGCUAGAAACAUGCGACUAAGAACCUACGAAAACUUGAGAGUCCAAAAAUUCACACCUCAAAAUAAGUUUUCAUUUUUCCCUAGGGUGGAAAGGACGUGAUCAAUGCCAUAAAUUUUCAUGAGGCAUCACUUUAAUGUUAAAACUUUUCAAACAAUUGUUUUAAGUGCAAUAACUUUUUAAAAAUGAUCAUCUAAGUGAAUACAGUGACUUAGUUUGCCGAAAAUCUAGCAUGGCUUGUUGAAGUCACUUAAAAGGUUGCUUUAAAAAAUUUUGACAGUAAAGUGAUCAUUCAAAAAGUUUUGGCAUUAAAUUGAUGAUUCAUAGAAUUAUUGCUCUAAAGAUUUAAAAAUUAGAGAAGCCAAAAACAAAAAUCACAGAAAAUAUUAUAACUCUGACACGAUUUUUCUUUCUUUUGUUAGGCUCAAAAGCAAAAUCAUUAGGCAAACAUUCUCUUAAGUUUCAUCUAAAGUCACAUAGAUCUAUUGGUUUUCCUAACAAAAAGGAUAAGUAAGUCAAAUUUUCUUUAAGUCAAAUUUUCUUCACAUCUUGGAAGUUUGUAAUUAUUUCUUUUUCUAUUCUUAGAUUGACAAAAAAGCUUCAAGCAUUGCCAAAAUGCAUUAUAGUGUGUUUGGUUCAGUUUUGCAAAAUACCUUUGCAUGGACACAAAGAAUCUUAGGUUGAAAGGUUUCACAAAUGCAAAACAUUAUUUGCCAAAACCUUGUAAUGGACUCUAGUUUUAAAAUAAAAUAAAAUAAAAAACAAAGAAUGUUGACGAAGAUGGCACCUCAGGCGAUGCCAGAAAAAGAGACGACAGCCAGUUGGCGAGGUCACGUGAUCACAAGCGACCGCUAUGAAGGCUGUGCUACCCCAGCUAUACAUUAAUCUCCGUAUCACGUCAUAACAUAAGCAAACUAAGCCUCUCACUCCACAUACUAUACGUUAUAUAUUAUGCAAUAUGUAAAGGACAAAGAUAAAAGGAAGAAAUUUCAAGGUAGUGGUAUACAGUCUUGUGAAAUUUAGCCCAACACAAAUUAGAACCAAUAUGAAUUCACUUUGGCAAUUCUAUAGAUAUUUAACUUAUAGAGAUAAGUACACCAUGUGUUUGAGUCAUAAAACUUUCAAAAGGUAUAAUCAAAUCUUAAAAUUUGUUGAGUUUACGCAAUUAAUUCCCCCAUUAACUCUAUCAAUUUAGCUAAUGAAUAAUGCUAACAUAAUGUUUUUAAUGUUUUCUUAUAGAGAGAAGUACACCCUAUAUUUGAGUACUAAAACUUCCAAAAGAUGUAAUUAAGUCCUAAAAUUUAUCAAAUUUGUGCAAUUAAUUCCUUCCGUUAACUCCAUCGAUUUCGCUAAUGAAAAAUAUUGAUGAAUUAUUUUUUAAUGUUUUCUCUCUCCUAAGUGAACCAAAAUUCUUUGACAAAAUCAAACAUGAUAGGAAUAUAAAAAGUUUUCAAGCAAAACAAAUCACAAAAAACUAUAAAACAAAACAAAACUCACAAACAAAAGAUCAGAUCUAUCAUUAUAUCAAUAAAUAAUUAGUAGCCGACCAUUGAAACCGUCAAUGAUAGGCACAUAUUGAGAUCUUCCUUUCUAGAAACUAUGGCUUUCAUCGUCAUACCAUCCAAAGACAACAACAUGGUGAACAACCACAAAUUAAACACCUCCAAGGAACUCCCAAAUCUAUAUUUAAUCGGGAGAAAAAAUCUCCGCACGAUCUAAAUAGAGAGAGGAGAACUUCUUCAAGCAGAUAUAUUCACCACAAUAAGCAAAGAAAAGCAACAACAAUGAACGAAAGAAGACAUCAAGCCAAGCGAAGAACGACUCCCAACAAUAAGUAAAGAAAAGCAACAACGAUGAACGAAAGAAGACAUCAAGCCAAGCGAAAAACGACUCCCAAAUUAGAUCAGGAGAGAAAAAUCAAAGCCUACAACCCCUAUCCCCAAGCUCGGAUGGAUGGUUAUCUAUUAGAGGACAUGAGCAAUAACUCCAAACAAUCGAUUAUUGCCAUAUCCAAAUCGACCCAUUAAGAGAAUAAUAUAAGCCAUUGAUAUUUUGAUGUGGAUUUUAUAUAAGUUAUUAAUCACGAAUGGAAUAUCCAUGAUUUCGUUAAAAAGAAUUAAGCACAAUUAAUUUAUUCGAUAUUCAUAGAGAGAAGGGAAAAAUAAUUAAUGAGAGGCAACGCGACACCAUAUCUCAUGGCAAUUUAGCAUAUAGAAGACUAUCUGAUACAUUAAACCAGAGCAAAACUUCAACUACAAAAUGCAUCCGCAAAUUCCCAGAAUUAUAAUUGUAGAAUACCCAAAACCGAGUCCAACGGAAUAUCAAAUGAAGAAAAACAGGAAUAUCUCUUCAAGCACUCUUAUCAGCCUUGGCAGCAGUUGCGGUGGCUUGUCCUCUGAGCCGACCAGUCCUCCAAGCGGCGAUGAGACCAACCUUCUGGCCGGGUGGCGCAUCACCUGACUGUGCUCGCGUGACCAAUGUGUUGGUGGUUACCUCCUCCGUGAGGAUGCUCAACUGGGUUCAUGGCCACACCACGCACCUUCGGCCAGCAGUUCCUCCACUCUGAACUUGUGCUAAGCAUUGCCAGCCUUGAGGAGGGGCAUCUCAGUUCUUCCUCCACCAGCAACCUGCCCGAUCAUUGCUCAGCAGCCACUUGGCACAAUUUUCUUUGAUCCGGAUGGAAGCUUGAUUCUUAAGUAACAUAAGACAUCAGUUCACUUUCACACAGCUCAAAAUUGUAGCAAACUCAGUUUGGCGCACUGGUGGAUAUGUUGCAGUAUAUCAAAAUAUGAACCAGCAAGUACAUUGUAGUUUCGUUAGUUCUGUUGCCAAUGUACCCACCGGAGCAAGAGCACACCGGAAUUCGUGUGCACAUAUCAUGUCAACCCAACUUUACAUUUCAGAGAACCAGAUCAAUUAACUUAUCUUUGCAUAAUUGUGGUCGUGAAAGACAUGUAAACAAAAUGAGCCACAAUAGUCGCAUAACUAGACCAACCGGCAGAUAUGAUGAAGACUGGAAGUUUCAGUCACAAAUACAAGAUAGAAACGGCAUCAAAUCAGCAUCAAGAAAGUCAUAUCAAAGCAUUCGAGCGGCCUGAUAUCAAAAGCCCCUUCAGAUAACUACUACGACAAAUUAAGCAAUUCAAAAAUCUAAUUCCUAUCCCAUAUGGGCACGUCGAACCUCUGUGAUAAUUACCAUAGAUUGCACCACAACAUGUUGCGCCAGAGCAAUACUGAGGCCACUCACUUAGCAGCCAUACAGUGAAGAAAUCAUAAACUUAAAGUAAUGCAAGCAUAAUCACAACGAAGCAAGGACAAACCAUGAUAUCAUAAACAAUAGUCAGGAAGGAUUAGUUGCACUUGCUAUCCGGGCAAAACUGCGAUCAUAAGUUUGGAUCUGCCACUCUCACUCAAAUCAUGAUAUCUUUUUAAUGGAGUGGCAUGGACUAUUCUCCGGUAAUUUAACUCCUAGCAACCACGGAUAACUCCACAAAACAUGCAUUUGAAAAAACAAAAGAGCUAGAUAGUGAUAGAAAUUACAAUCUGACAUCAAAGGUAGAGACACUAAAGCUCCAAGCUCCGUCUUCACAAGGGUAAAACUGCACGACAGAUUACACUAACAACCGAAUGUUUCAUAUCCGUUCAUUUAUCCAAUUCCAGCAACAUAACUUUUCUUCCAAAUCAAAUCAAAAACAAAAUGUUUCAGGCACAGGAAUAGAGUUAGAUUUAUCUAUAUUCCAGCUUCACGAAUUCGGCUAAAGUCCCGUAGAUUUCUAAGACGGAAGCAGUAUAGCAAGUAGACUCCAUCGAACGAGCAGAUGCGAGCAAUUAGACGAAACAGCGACGGUAAAGCUUCACAAAAGGCAAUCAUAAUAGGAGCUGAGAGUGGGAAAGAAUAACGAGCGCGAGGUCAGAUGGAACCAACCGAGAUCGCCGCCGCGCUUGGCGGAGCUGCAGUCGGAGAAGCGCGAGGCGAGGUCCUCGAACUUGGCCUUGCCGGCGACGAUGUCCUCCCUGAGGGCCUUGAGCUGCGAGACGGCGCUCUCGCGGGUGGUGCUGCGGAUGACCCUGCCCUCCAGAUCCUUCCACGAGGCCUUCCUCCGGGAGCCCUCGUGCUUGAUGAGGAUGUGCGAAGCGCGGACCUGGCUUUUCGCCCCCCUCCGCCCCCGCCGCCGACGACGACAUCUUGGCCUUCGCCCGGUGCUUGUCCCUGAGGCUGCCGGACUUGGCGGCGGCUGGAUCUGCCGAUGAGGUGGUUGUGGAGGACGGUCUCUUCCUCUUGCGAUCGGCGGACUCUAUUUUGGCAGGCUAAAAACGGCGGCGACCUCGUUCUGCUCCCCUCGCUGCGUUGAAGACUGAAGUUCGAGUGCGGUGCUGAGUUCGGUGACGAUGGAGAGAGUCGAGGCAGGGGGGAUGGUGGCUUUUAUAUGGUGAAUUUCUCAAUAUUUUUUUUCCUAUAUAUUAGAAAUGGACACGUCAUUGAAAGUAAUUAUCCUCUGCUAGCUUUUUCAAUCAACUAAUCUUUCGACCCAAAAAAAAAAAGUAUGAUUAAUCCAAUUUCAAAUAUUAGGCUCAUUUUAUUCAGCGAAAAAUAACUAAUUUAAAAAUCAUUUUUAAAAAAAUAAUUACUCAUCUCACUUAUAAAAAUGACAAUAUUUUCUGGUGUUCGGCUAAAACCUGAAAAUGUUUCGGAAAAUAUUUUUUAGUAUGCGAUAAGAAAAAUAUUUUCUAAAACUUCACUACUUAGGCAUGCAUCAUUUACCGACCUAUAAAUUUAUCAUAUAGAAUUUGCCUUUAAAUUCAAGCAAAUUUGCUUCAUAUUUUGUUCUGCCCCUAUGAGAAUCUUCCAGUUGAGUGGCAUGUUCUCCCCCUGCAUUUUUUGUGUUUUAAUAAAAUAAAAUAAAAAAGCAAAGCAUGUGGAGUUCUUUGCUUGUGCAAUGUACAACUGUAGGGUAAAAUAAAUAAAUAAAAAGAUAAGCAAGAGUGCAGAGUGCGGGCUUGAGAUCGACGAGCUCAAGAUUCGCCUAGCAACGGCCGACGACUAGCCAAAAAAGAAGAUGGGAAACAAAAAAAAAGAAAAUAAAUAGAAAGAAAAGAAAAUUAAAAAUAAUUCGAAUUAAAAAAGAAAAUGAAAAUUAAAAAAUAAUUUGAACAAAAAAAGAAAAUUAAAAUUAAAAAAUAAUUUGAACAAAAAAAGAAAAUAAGAAAAAGAAAGUGAAUGAGAAAGUGAGGAUAUGUAGAGGUGUAAGAUAAGAAAUAUCAAGUGAUGAAGAUGUUUUCCACUUUUCAAAUGUGGAAAAUAUUUUUCCUUUCUUACCUUUUACCAAAAAAAAUAAAUAUAUAUUUCCUUAAUUUAGAAGACUUUUUUUUUUUUAUGGAAAACAUUUUCCCUAAGGAAUUCAUUUUCCGUGAAAUGAACACCGGAAAAUCUGAAAAAUAUUUUGCCACAAAUUAUUUUCCGUAAAACGAACGGAGUCAUCACACCUCUAUCUAAUGGCUAAGCUUUUGAAACGAUCGGCAGUGACCUCAUGAAAAAAUCUUGCUUGUGCGUGAGAAGUGUGUACAAUUUUGCCUCAUGCUCACCGGUAACUUGUAGUCAUAUACAAUGAUCAAUCGACGCCAAAUCCUCAUUUUAGUUUCAUUUAGCCAGCCAGCGACGAUAUCCACUCGAAGCACUCUACUAGGCCCUAAAAACUAACAAAUCUCUUACAGUUGAAUGUACACAGUAUGUCUAGUUGUCUACAGAGUCUACACUUCAGCAGGUCCAACCGUUCCAACUACUACAAAAUGAGUGCGGGCAUCACCUUCAAUGUCGCCACCGCAUUCACUUCGAUUCUACCAUUAGCCUCUGCAGUUUUCAUCAUUAGACGGGGGGAGAGAGAGAGAGAGAGAGAGAGAAACAAGGCCUAGUAAUAGUGAACAUGAUCGGCAGGACGAUCUUCUUGCCAGAAGUGAAACAAGAAAACUUACAUGGAAUUUGAUAAACAUAUUGCAGGCAUCAAAAGAUGGUAACAUCUACAGGGCAAUUACAGUUGCAUGUCUAUCAAUAUUUAUCAUCGAUUGGUAUAAACAUCAACAACUCCGAAUUGGAUCAGUUUCUCCUCAACAAAUAAGUGCUUGGGCCAAAAAAAUCCUCCCUAAUGGAGAGAUAGUUGGAGAGGUGACAAAACCCUAUACUUUUCAUUACAAAACCAAUAAACCGGAAAAGAAUGGAUUGUUUUGUGAAAGAAUUUUUGGUCCUAUAAAAAGUGGAAUUUGUGCUUGUGGAAAUUAUCGAGUAAUUGGAGAUGAAAAAGAGGACCCGAAAUUUUGUGAACAAUGCGGAGUAGAAUUUGUUGAUUCUCGGAUACGAAGAUAUUGGGAUACAUCAAAUUAGCAUGUCAGUAACCCAUGUGUGGUAUUUGAAACGUCUUCCUAGUUAUAUCGUGAAUAUUUUAGAUAAACCUCUUAAAGAAUUAGAAGGGCUAGUAUAUUGCGAUGUGUGAUUUGAUCAAAAUUCUGAUUUUACAUAUUCGAAAUAAGAAACUGUCAUCCCAGUCAACUGAAUUGUGAUGCCCCAGAUCUGACAUGUCUUGUGAAAGGAGUGAUAUGAAGCUUAGAAUUAUGGGUGUAUAAAAUAUUCCAAGGGGAUUGGUCUAUGGUCGAUUCAGUAAAAAAGAAAUAGUAUUUUUAGUUGGACCUCGUGAAAAAAAGGCUUCUUUAUUUGUGAAAUUAAUCAUUAAUUUCUCUUAGAAGGAAAUAAAAUUAUGUUUAUGUUCAACUAGCAAAUAUGUCAUGGUUGCAGGAGUCUAUCCAUCGCAUAUAGGCUUUAAGGACAUCGUAGCAUAACCAUCGAGGUGAUGUUAGGACCUAAAAAAUCGAAUGGAAGGAUACAUAGACAAGUAAAUCCCUUAUAAAACCCUUAAAGGGAUUGUCAUUCAAAGGGAAGUAGACUACUCAAGAAUUUCACAUUUCAUUUAUGUAGAAUUGAAUAAAGAAUUCUAAAAAUCUAAAUAAAACAAAAAUAAGAAUGAAUCAAUGAAAUAUUGCUUGGUCUUCACUGCUAACUUGAGUAAGGAGUAGAUUUUUGGAGGUUUUUCGAGAAUUUGAAAGCGAAACAACCCCCCCCCCCCCCCCCCGCUUUUUUUAUUUGGUGUAACUACUUGAGCCGGAUGAAAGGAAACUUUCAUGUCCGAUUUUGAGGGGGGGAGAUCCUAUAGGAUCCUAUCCCAAUUUUUCUUUUGCUAGGCCCGUAGCUAAAAAACCUACUUUCUUACGAUUACGAGGGUUAUUCGAAUAUGAAAUCCAAUCUAAUAUCUCCCAACAUCCCAAAACUAGCCGUUACCCCACCAGUAGUAGGAGAUGUAAGGAUUGAUAUAUAGAAUAACUUUUUAUGGGAUUGAUAAUCAUAUAAAGCCGGAGAUAUUUUAGCCAUUUGCAUCAAGCUCAAGCUUCCUUCUUGCAUACGUGCUCCUCCGGAAGCACACACUAGAAUCAGAGGUAAAAAUUUAUUGGUAGCAUACUCGAUCAAACGGGUGAUCGAUGCAACAAGUGGUAAACUUUAAUCGUACUUUUUACCAACUAAUCAACAGUAAAUUACAUUAGUAGGAAUAUAAGCCGAAACAUCUCCCGACUAAGUCUCCACUAUUGGUAAGGCAAUCAUACUUCCUUCACCUAAAAAAGAACUUAAUAAAGGAUCCAUGGAUAAAUAUAGACAAGCGUAUUUCCAAUCGUAACUAAAUCUUUCAUUUUUUCUUUUUAAAUUGGAAGUAUUGAUCCAAUUCAAAAAAAAAAAAAAUUAUGUUUCCCAAUUAAAUAAUCCAAUUUUCCAUUUUUAAUUGACCCUUGGAUACAAAUCACGAGAAUGUAUAUUUUUCCUCGAAUCCUUCGUUGAGAGGUAAAGGAUUAAAUCCUUUUAAGAAAUAAAGUUUUUCUUCGGAAUAUGAAUCAAAUCAAAUCUUGUUUCCUCUCAAAAAGUUGGAUUUACAGCUCCUAGCGCAGAAUGGACUGAUGAAUUUGUUGCCAUCUGAAACGAUUGAUAUAUUGUUUAAUCUAGGAACUAAACAUUUCUCAAGAGAGGCCAACUUUUUCUGAUGAUAUCACCAAUCUUCGCAUCAAUCUGCUUCUGAAUGUGAGGUGGGCAAAGCUCACCUGCAAAACUAUUCAAUUUUGCAGCCAAACUUGAUUUCUGAAGU